This 49202-nucleotide long non-coding RNA is filed under the name Triticum aestivum (bread wheat). RNAcentral describes it as "long non-coding RNA (TAES_LNC018998)". Lineage: Eukaryota; Viridiplantae; Streptophyta; Magnoliopsida; Poales; Poaceae. The record is from RNAcentral.
AUUCCCCGACCUUAGCCCCCAGCCUAUGCUGGGUGUAGUUCGGAGGCGAAGCUUUCGUAAUGGAGAGAGAUUGCAUUAAGCCUAGAGCUUCGUCUAAAAGCGAAAGCUGAAUGGGCUUCUGCGGAUCCGCGAGGCCGGGCACGUGAUUGAAGCCGGUGGGGUGCAGACCUUAGUUAUUUAGAGUUGUCCUCAAGAGGCGAGUCUGGCUCUCCGAUGUCCGUGGGAGUACCGUUUGAUUCCNNNNNNNNNNNNNNNNNNNNNNNNNNNNNNNNNNNNNNNNNNNNNNNNNNNNNNNNNNNNNNNNNNNNNNNNNNNNNNNNNNNNNNNNNNNNNNNNNNNNUUUAGCUUGUUACCUCAGCUACGAUCUUGUGCCCUCGGCAGGAUCUAGUAGAUAGUCAGGCUUCUUAGCCUUUUUCAUUUGUAGAUGUCUGUACUCAGACAUGUUAAGCUUCCGCAUGUGCUUUGCAUUGUAUGCUAUGACUGUUGGGUCAUGAGACCCAUGUUUGUAAUAUCUCGCUCCACGGAGCCUAAUAAAUAAAUACUUUGAGUCACAGAGUCUUGUUGUGAUGCCAUGUUGUAUUUGCACAUAUCGAGCAUAUUGUGUGUAUGAUUGAAAUGCUUGGUAUGUGUGGGAUCCGACAAUAUAGUUGUUUAUCCUUGGCAGCCUCUCUUAUGGGGAAAUGUAGUCAAGUGCUUCCGUGAGCCAUAGUAGUCCGCUACAGCCUGGUUCACCGGAGUCCUGCUAGCCCAGCACUACUGCUCAGGACGCUUGACUGGCCGGCAUGUAUUUCACUUCAUUCUUGUGUCUGUCCCUUCGGGGAAAUGUCACGCGGUGACUCCGGAGUCCUGCCUAGCCUGCUACAGCCCGGGUUCUCGGAGUCCUGUUAGCCCAGUGCUACAGCCCGGAUUCACACGCUGCUGACCGACAUGCUCGAGGUUGAUUCAUGUAUGCCUGUCCCCACGGGUUAGUGCCGCUUUGGGUUCACGACUAGCCAUGUCGGCCCGGGUUCUCUGUCAUAUGGAUGCUAGCAACACUAUCAUAUACAUGAGCCAAAAGGCGCAAACGGUCCCGGGCCAUGGUAAGGCGACACCCGUGGGAAUACCGUGCGUGAGGCCGCAAAGUGAUAUGAGGUGUUACCGGCUAGAUCGAUGUGACUUGGUAUCGGGGUCCUGGCAGCUUUGGUAUCAGAGCCUGACUACCUGUACGAUUACCAAGCCAAACUGGUCGAAGUCGAGUCUAGAAAUGCUUUAGUUAUGUAAGGGAAUUGAUUGUGGAAGGGAACGUAAGGCUCUUUUUACUCCUUAUAUCAUCAUGACCUUCUGAUCUGAGUCAUCUUAUCCUUUCUACAGGGAUUAAGAACUAGGCUUCUCUUCUAUCUCUGAGGAUGAUGUGUUACUAAACCGUAGUUGCCCAGGAUUGUUGAGUUCAAGCCUCAGUUCAGUUCCUACUACUUCUGUAUGUUGACCCUUGAUCCCGGAACUUUGAUAUUGUGAUGUUGAGUGGUUAUGCCACCGUUUUGCAGGAUGUCUCAAAUCUUUUCGAGCAUUUACAGCCAUUAUGCUGUCCGAGUCAUCCGAGGUUUCUAAACAAUCUGAUGCAUUUGCAAAUCCCUUCUUUCCAUUCCGAUGUCUCUUUGGGCCAGUUUAACCACACUAAUCGGUGAGUUGAGGUACUUUGUUGCCUCGACAUAUAUGUUGGAGCUAGUAUUAUGACCCUAGGUGUCUUAGAGGAUCACCUAGUAAAUCUGGCCAUGUUUUGUGUUCCCAGUGUGAUGAAUCUGGCCGUCAUUCUCGAAAGCAUCCCAUGAUGCCAUUUAGUAGUAGGUAUUCUACUCUUGGGUUCCUGACCCAAGAUUCACUCCACUUACCUUCUGUUGAUAGUGUUUGCUAGUUCCUUUAGAAUAUUAGUAACCUUUGCGAUAGUCCUCGAGGCCCGUGGUAUUUCCUUCUUCCAAAUACCAUGAACUACUUAUGGCAGAAGUUCUUUUGAACUAAAAGAUCACAACUAGAGUGAUCUUGAUGGGUUGUCCAUUCUAUAUUGUGGAUCUGCCAGUUCUACCUUUCUGCAUGGGUUAUCCGAAAGAAAUAUGUUGAACUCGUUCGACAUACUAAUCUAUGCAUCCACAACUCAGAAAGUUAUAUGUUCCUUGAGUUGUCCCCCUCUUCAGUUAUAUUCCGACCUUCAUCUAUCAAUUGAUAGUAAGGAGUAUUUGGCAAUCGUGUUUAUCAAUGCCUAUUACUCUAGUGGUCCGUCAAGUCAUUUUAUUUCAGAAUGACUAGGAGAAACAAACUCCAGUACCUGGUCCAUGUCUAGGAUUGGGUUAAAGCAAUUGUACUUCGCAGAUCAAAAUGCCAAUCCAGCUUUUGUUCUAUUCUACCUCGGAGUAUUACCCCCUUUAUGUCAUGAUUGUCAUGAGAAUUGCACCAUCUCUCAUGAAUUUUGAACGCAGUGAUACUUCUCGCCAUCAUUCUUCAUUCCUCAGUCUCCGUGUUGUUGUGACCGGAAUGCCGACAAGUGAACCGCGAUGUGUGAGAUCAAUACUCCUAGCAACCCAGUUGCUUGGUAGUUAAUGGACAAUAAGUUCAUUCUUAGCGUGUUGGUUAUUCAAUCAUCAUUCUAAGAUUAAUCAUGCUACCUAGUCCAUAUUUCCGGUGCACUCUUCGAUCAAUGAGUUAGGAUUAUUCAAUCCCUUACUCUUCUGAUCAUGUCGUCUUGCCUUGAAAAGCAAGAUUGUUCUCGAGCUUAGAGACAUAUCAGUGGCUCGUGAUUUUCCGGAUAUCUUCAUGGGAGUAUCACCAGGUCGUCACCUGACCGCUAUGUUGAGUUCAUGAUCAUGUGGGUUUUCCUCCAAACCACCCAUUCUCCAAGAAUCUGUGAUGGAUACCCUGAGCUAGUUUGGUAAGCUAAACAACAACUUGGAGAGUUGGAAGAUAAAAGCUUGUCCGACUUAGUUCAUCAUUAAGGGAUAUUCUUGGGUAGUGUGUGUUGAAGAAAGAUGAUAUCUUCAUCGAUUGGUCCCUGUGAUCAGUUGUUAGUUCUAUUGCCUUGUCAAAACUUUGACUUGAGUAUGGGCUAUCGUCAAGUCAAAUCAGAACCAACGAUGUUCGUAAUGUUGUCUUACUCGUGGUUGAUCCCUCGAGCAUACACCAUUACAUCUUUUGGUCUGACCAAUGCUAUCACCGUGUUCACAUGAAGGUGGAAGUCCAGUGAUAUGGAAAUACCGAUGAGUUGUUGUUGAGCCCAUCAGCAGCAUUUGUCUCCUCCAUGAUUCAUGUUGGACGUUGCGCUAGUGUUGGAAACUUGGUAAGCCUCGUGCCCCGUUCAUGAAGUAUAUGUUUGGAUGAAAGUAGUGACUUCCUCUAGAUUCAUGUGCAAUUGAUGCAAGUUGCCGCCGUGAAUUCGAGGGAGCUUGUUUUUUUGCUUCCUUUGGAAUCAUCUCAAGCCAGUCAUGCAUUCGUGCGAAGUAUUAUAUGGUUUGGUAGAUUAAUUACCUCCACUCCAUAGGUGUUCCUAGCACACCAAGCCACUGACUGAUUUGCACAAGGAAAAGGAGUCUGUUGUAUUAAUUCUAGAUCAUGCGCAAGACUUCGAUAUCCUCGAUGAUGGUUCGCAGCCAGAACUCGGUAGUGUUUUGUUGUAAGACUACUAUGUGGUCAUGCUUGUCUGGGAUAACGUGUUCACAUGUACGUAGCAAAACCAGCUGAUGUUUUGGAGCUUGCUAUCGUAGUUCAUCUCCCGAGAAUCUCACAACGUCAUCUCGUCGAUUUGUGUUGCAAACUUUCUUUUCCAGACAUGUUGUUUGAAUUAUCCUGUUACCAACCAGAUCUAAAUCUCAGGCAGAUGUGAUGGUUGGAACCUCUUCCAAGAACUAUGAUAUAGGUUCCAGUGAAGUGGACACACCUAGCUGGAAGCACUAUUAUUGUAGUAUCUUGAGUCAGCAAUUUGGCCACCCUUCCAUGAGGAGCUGGUAUGACUUAGAGCAUAAGUUGUUCCUUAUGGGUUCUUUGAGUUUCCGAAGUCAGACCUUUAUUUGAUGUUCCAGAUACCGAAUGGUAUUGUGUUAAGCUGGUACAUGAAGGAGANNNNNNNNNNNNNNNNNNNNNNNNNNNNNNNNNNNNNNNNNNNNNNNNNNNNNNNNNNNNNNNNNNNNNNNNNNNNNNNNNNNNNNNNNNNNNNNNNNNNCAGCCAUUGGUGAGCUUGUCCACGCGAGGUAGGACACAGGGGCCAAGCGGGUGCUGGACUUGCUGCUCCAUCUCCUCCAGCGAAGAGAGCUCGUCGGGGAUGGCCGCUUCGAGGAGGGCGUCCUGUACACCACUGGAUGGGUGGAGAAGGCAAUAGGCAUUAGUAGCACAGAAAUCAACCCUAAUAAAUAGUUCAUAUUUGACAACACAAGCAGCCUUUCCAAUAUGAUGAUUCUCAAGAAAGAGAAAAACAUUAUCCAAGAAAUCAAGAAACAAAAGUGAAAUGCUAGAUAGCAGCAUAACCAUUCAUUCAGGGAACAUAAGAGGUGGCAAAAGCAGCAGCAGGUAAUCCUUAUAACUAGAGGCUAAGCAUCCAGAGUUGGCUAUAGUUAGCUACUUCAUAGCAACUAACACCGGCCAAUAAAAAGUAGCACAAGUACUAGAUACCUAUGAGGGUGUGAACUUGGUGCCAAUCAGUUGGCCAACCUUGUGGAUAUGGAGAUCUUGUUUGUACCAGUACAAUUAGCAAGCAGUUGUCUAUUAUCGAAGCCAUUUCAUUUGCAACGGUAUCAUAAUAAAAAUGUAAUGUAAAAUCCUGGUGUUGUCACUAGCACUAUAGCAACAGUACUUAUCAGAAAUUACAUUAGCUUCUUAAAAAUGGAAAGGAGGAAUUGCAUCCUCAAUCAAGUAUGCUGGCAAUCAAGGCCGGUUAUGAGAUCUCAGGGGCCCGAGGCGAACUAGAAAACAGGGCCCCAUACAAAGCAUGGCACCAAAACGAGUGAUUUAUAUCGACCAAAGGUGAUAUAUAUUGUUUUGAGGAGCUUUAUCGUGAACGAUAACAAGGUGUAAUCCAUUUGAAAAAAAGGUGUGAAGCUGAUAUAUGUACACAAUGUGAUUGAAAUUCAUGUAAAGAAGAACAGUGGUAUUAGAUCUUAUGGCGUUUCUAUUUUUUGUUGUUGGAAGUUAGACAGAUGGAAGACAAUAACUUAUCUUUUGCCAAAAUCAUUUUCCCUUAGUUCUGGUACAAGUUUGUAGUAUUUCUACAGGCACAAUCCGACAUUCUGACUUGGACCAAUCUAACAAAAUGAGAUUAAUGUUGGAAGCUGAUAUAAAUACAGUCAGAGGAUUGACCAUGGAUUUUCAGCAUGAAUUCAUCAUAAAAUUCGCCUAGCUAGAAUUAACAAGUCCUGACCCAAAUCAUACACAAAAUCAGCGGAAAAGAAAGCACAGCAGAACCCCAUGUUGUUACCUGGUUGUCAACCCAACAGAACCCCCAAUCAGCCAAUUAGGCAGAUAAGUAUGGCGCACCAAUUAGCUGGCUGUCGCAGAACCCUAUAGGCAGAUAAGCAUGGCGCAUCAGCAAUCAGUCGUACUGUUUGUUAAAAGAGUAUUUUGUCCAUGUGUAGAAGCAAAUAUAGAAACUGAUCUUGAUAAUAUUUGGCAUACCGCAUACCCAAUAACAGAUUAAGGUGCAUAUUUGAUAGCACAAGCAGCAAUUUUUCCCCAAAAUUAAAAAUAAGAUUACCAAGCUACAGACUAACCACAUCCAGCACAAGCAAUUUGUCCCAUCAAAUGUUUACUAACGGCAGUAUAGGCACAACAGCACAACCUUACCUAGCGCCAUGGCCAUUGUUCAGGGGCGGGGCAUGCUUAUGUUGUACUGGCGCUUCUCCUUGGAGUUUGAGGAUGAGGAGCAGCACACGCACUCGCCGCAGCUGUCGUCGAGCAGGACAAGCCACGGUGCCCACCCUCGUCCCGGACGGGCGGCUGCAGGUGCGCCGCGUCCAUGGAUCCUACGGGAUGAGGUCCUCCGUGCUGCCCUGCUCGAGGUGGACCAUCAGGAAGCGAGGGCGCGCGUGGGGGCGCUGUAGACGAUGGAGAAGAGGCGCCAUAGGCGGCCGUAGAAGGGCCGACGAUGAAGGCGAUGCCGGAUGCCGAAACCCUAGCACGGGAAGUGGUUUUGGGAAAGCAGUUGAGGUCGAGAGGGGGAAAUCUUGCCGGAGGGAAGGAUGGAUCCGAGCGAGGCGAGCUCGGUGGUGUGCUCCACCCCGGCAAUAUCCGCCGGAAUCGCCCGAAUCGGGAGCGGCGGCUGUGGCGGCUGAGGGAACGGAGGAGAGGAUGGGGGUUAGGGUUACAUGGGUGUGGACUUUGGAUUAAAUAGGCUGGCUCGAAAUUUUUGCCACCGCCCGCGUCAGCGACUUAAAAUUUUGCACGUCCACGCGCUCUCGAAACUUCUGGCGCGUCCGCUUUUUUAUUUUUAUAUAUGCAUAUAUACUGUUGACUACAUUCAACUGAAAUAUGGGCCAACCCACCAGCCACACACUACACAUCAGUAGGAGUCAUCGGUGACGGACUGGAUAAUGUAUAAAAAAUCGAAUGGCUUGACCGAGUAAGUUGAUUUGUGACCAUUUUCAUGACAGUCCAUCAUGUCCAUCAUAAAAGGGCUACCUUCUUAGGUGGGCAGUCACAUUCUAUUGAUCCACGACGGUUUCCAUGACGGAUAGUAGAAAACCGUCAUCACCGGUGACGAUUUCUGAGAACGUCAUCAGAAAUCCGUCACGUAUUAACAGGUUUCUUGUAGUGUUCGUGUUUGCCGGUGAUCUACAACUACAAGUGGCAUCAGAGCCUCGGUGGUGUUCGGUCCAUCCUGGGCGCCGACGGUGUUUGAUCCGUCGGAGAGAUGGUCGGAAGCGACGAGGAGAAGGAACAGAAGAAGCUAAAGGAGGAACAGGCCAAGGCGGAGGCCUCGGCACUUGGGAAGUCCCUAGCCCGUCUCUCCACCGAGCAGGGAUGGAGCCAGAAAAUGAAGAUAGGGGGGCAAGAACUCGAAGCACUAAAAUCAUAGUAGGAUACAUGAUCAUAUACCUAGUAAAUAAUGAAAGAUCUAGAUAGUAAAUAUAUGUCUGUUGUUCUAUAAUAAUAAAAAAUUCAUAUCUAUUACCCCGCAAAAAAAUUUGAGUUGGUGUUUAGUUGCAUUUCGUUUGCAUCAGCAUCAUGUUCACAUGGCAGCGAGCUGGAAACAAUUGGCUUAAAAAUAUGAAUUGAUUCAGCCCUUUCUCUUUGUGUCUACACAGAUACAAUCAGGCGUCUAUUGAACGAACGUUCAGACAAUAUCCAUCUCGCAGGAUAGAAUUUGUAUAAUCUGAUUUUGCUAGCGCGACGUGAAUGCGUGAUUACGAACACAUAUUGCUAGCACGCCAUUGGCAAAUACGCCUGCACACCAUAGCACGCGCCCUAGUAGAUUCCUUUGACAAUUAGACUAAUUAGAAUUUACUAGUUAGUUGUAAAUGUUUCCAGUUCUAUAAUUCCAUUUAUACAAUUUGAAGGCAUAGAUAAACUAAUCUAAUGCUGAAAGUAAACUAACCCCUUUUUCUUUUGGUUUGGUCACUCCCUGUGGCCAGCCGGCCGGCAGCGCGCUCGUGAUCAUGGAUCGGCGACACUACCGCUGCCUGUCCCCUCCCCUCAACGAAGAGAUUCGACUCAGGAUCUCAGGCGGCCGGCGGUACGCUCGAUCUCAGGCGGCAGGAGUAGUGGGGAGGUUGGAAACGAAGCGAUUAGAGGAGAUCUUAAUCAUGCGUACGUUUUUUUAGGGAUGAAACUAUGUUUUUUUUGAGGCAAACCAACAAAGCUUUAUUCACCCGUCACACAGUUUACAGGGACGAACAAAAGAUCCCCAGGGUGGCCUAACCAUACAUGGCGGCCAACCCCGAGCGUUAACGCAUGCUUUGCUAGUCUGUGAGCCUCNNNNNNNNNNNNNNNNNNNNNNNNNNNNNNNNNNNNNNNNNNNNNNNNNNNNNNNNNNNNNNNNNNNNNNNNNNNNNNNNNNNNNNNNNNNNNNNNNNNNUGGCAAGCCGACAGGAAAAGUGUUUCAUGCUAAACCGGUCACCGCUUCACGUGGCCAUGUCAACUGUAUCUCUGCCGAAGAAGCUCAAGAAGAUCCCAACGUCGUUCUCGGUACGCUUCUUGUUAAUUGCCACCCGGCAUCUGUUCUUUUCGAUACAGGAGCCUCUCAUUCUUUUAUAUCUGAAAAUUAUGCUCGUUUGCAUAACGUUGCAUUCUGUGACUUGCCAUCCUCCAUGGUAAUUCAAACUCCGGGAUCCAAAUGGCAAACUUCUAGAGUAAGCCAUGGAAAUGAAAUCCAAGUCGAUAGACUUGUUUUCCUCGCAUCUUUGAUAGCCCUUAAAUCUUCAGAUAUUAAUAUCAUUUUGGGUAUGGACUGGAUGUCAGCUCAUCAAGCCAAAAUUGAUUGCUUCUCUAGGACUGUUCAACUCACCCAUCCUUCGGGAAAGAUAGUCAAUGUCUUGACCCGAAUAGCCAAGCGACAAUUAUUUUCUCUUAACGCCAGCCCUUUGCCAGACCUUGAGGACGUUCCGGUAGUCCGUGACUUCCCGGAUGUCUUUCCAGAGGAAUUGCCAGGUAUUCCACCUGACAGGGAUGUUGAGUUCGUAAUAGAUCUCAUUCCAGGAACCGUUCCGAUUGCUAGAAGACCUUAUAAGAUGGCACCCCUAGAACUAGCCGAGCUUAAGAAACAACUCGAUGAAUCCUUGAAAAAGGGUUUCAUCCGCCCUAGUUCAUCUCCGUGGGCUUGCCCCGUCCUAUUCGUUAAGAAAAAGGAUGGUACGGACCGGAUGGUUGUAGAUUACCGACCUGUCAAUUUGGUCACAAUCAAGAACAAAUACCCACUUCCCAGGAUCAACGAUCUGUAUGAUCAGCUCGCUGGAUCCUCAGUCUUCUCCAAGAUGGAUUUGAGGUUGGGCUACCAUCAAAUCAAAAUCAGAAACGGGGACAUUCCUAAAACGGCCUUUGUUACUCGUUAUGGCCAAUACGAGUACACCGUCAUGUCCUUCGGUCUAACCAACGCUCCAGCCACUUUUUCUCGGUUAAUGAACUCAAUCUUCAUGGAGUAUUUGGAUAAAUUCGUCGUGGUUUACCUCGAUGACAUACUCAUCUACUCCAAGAACGAGGAAGAACAUGCCGAACAUUUAAGGCUAGUGUUGAAGAAACUUCGAGAGCAUCGCCUUUAUGCCAAAUUCUCAAAAUGUGAAUUCUGGUUGUCAGAAGUGACCUAUCUGGGUCAUGUAAUAUCGGGUAAAGGUAUUGCUGUUAACCCUGAGCGAGUUCAAGCUAUCCUUGAUUGGACUCCACCUGAAUCGGUCAAGCAAGUUCGGAGUUUUCUAGGCUUAGCAAGCUAUUGCCGUCGCUUUGUCGAGAACUUCUCCAAAGUUGCUAAACCUCUAACCGAACUCCUCAAGAAAGAUAAGAAGUUCGAAUGGACUCCACAAUGUGAGCACAGCUUUCAGGAACUGAAAAGACGCCUGACCUCCGCUCCCGUACUGGUACCGCCAGACUUCUCCAAGGACUUUGUUAUCUACUGCGACGCCUCGCGACAAGGACUAGGUUGCAUUCUCAUGCAAGAUCGACACGUAAUUGCCUACGCUUCACGGCAGUUGCACCCACAUGAGGAGAAUUAUCCUACUCAUGAUCUAGAGCUUGCAGCCGUAGUCUAUGCACUUAAAACCUGGCGACAUUACCUCCUCGGUAAUCGUUGCGAAAUAUUCACUGAUCACCAAAGUCUGAAGUACAUCUUCACCCAACCGGAUCUGAAUCUCAGGCAAAGACGUUGGGUUGAAUUGAUCACAGACUUCGACUUAGGCAUAACCUACACCCCGGGGAAAGCCAACGUCAUGGCUGAUGCGCUAAGUCGUAAAUCUUAUUGUAACAACCUGAUGUUACAACAAAGUCAACCGCUUCUCCAUGAGGAAUUUCGGAAGCUUAACCUUCACAUUGUACCUCAAGGUUUUCUUUCCACCUUGGUAGCAAAACCUACUCUUACGGAUCAAAUCAUCGCUGCCCAAAAGCGAGAUAAGGGAAUAUCUAAAAUCAAAGAGAACAUUGCUAGCGGAGGUGCUAGUUGUUUCUCCACAAAUGAUCAUGGUGUUGUGUACUUUGAGGACCGUCUAGUGGUUCCCAAGAACCAGCAUCUACGGCAGUUGAUCCUUAAGGAGGCUCAUGAAUCUCCUCUCACCAUUCAUCCCGGUAGUACUAAGAUGUAUCAGGACCUACGCCAGAGGUUCUGGUGGACUAGGAUGAAGAGAGAAAUUGCUCAGUAUAUUGCCAAUUGCGACGUCUGUCGUCGUGUAAAGGCAGAGCAUCAACGGCCUGCUGGCACCCUUCAACCCUUAGCUAUUCCUGAAUGGAAAUGGGAUAAAAUUGGUAUGGAUUUCAUUACCGGUUUUCCUAGGACCAAAAGAGGGAAUAAUGCCAUUUUCGUUGUGGUCGAUCGUCUUUCCAAGGUAGCUCAUUUCCUACCUGUUCGUGAGAGUAUAACCGCUAGUCAGCUGGCAGACUUAUACAUCUCCCGAAUAGUGUCCCUCCAUGGUGUUCCUUUGGAAAUCAAUUCGGAUCGAGGAAGUCUUUUCACCUCUCGAUUUUGGGAAAGUUUCCAAAAUGCUAUGGGAACCCGUCUCUCCUUUAGCACCGCUUUCCACCCUCAGUCAAGUGGUCAAGUGGAACGCGUCAACCAAAUUCUAGAAGACAUGCUUCGAGCCUCUGUUAUCUCGUUCGGAAUGGACUGGGAGAAGUGCCUUCCAUUUGCCGAAUUCGCUUACAACAACAGCUAUCAAUCUAGCUUGGGUAAAGCCCCUUUUGAAGUUCUCUAUGGACGACGAUGUCGAACACCCCUUAACUGGUCAGAGACCGGGGAAAGACAAUUCUUUGGCCCGGAUAUGGUUCAGGAAGCAGAAGAACAAGUUCGUAUCGUUCGUGAAAAGUUGAAAACAGCCCAAUCCCGUCAAAAGAGUCAAUAUGACCGAAAACAUAAGGCUAUGACCUUCGAGGUUGACGAGAAGGCUUAUCUUCGGGUCACCCCUCUGAAGGGAACCCAUCGCUUCGGUAUCAAGGGCAAAUUGGCUCCUCGUUACAUUGGACCUUUUCGCAUUCUUGCCAAACGAGGAGAAGUUGCCUACCAAUUGGAACUACCUCCGCACCUCUCCAGAGUUCACGAUGUCUUCCACGUCUCUCAACUCAGGCGUUGCUUCUCGGAUCCUAUCCGUGAAGUGGACCACGAAACGCUUGAUCUCCAAGAUAAUCUUACAUAUCGAGAGUACCCCAUUCGUAUCCUCGAUCAGGCCGAGCGUACCACUCGACGUCAUAAUAUCAAGUUCCUCAAAGUUCAGUGGUCUCAUCAUUCUGAGGAUGAAGCAACUUGGGAAAGGGAGGAUCGUCUUCGACUCGAGUAUCCCGCCUUCUUCUCGGAGGAACCCAAAUCUCGGGACGAGAUUCUUUUGAGUGGGGGUGAGUUGUCACACCCUAGCUAGUCAUGCAUUAGAGUGUUGCAUCAUGUUUACUCUUUCAUCAGAAACUUGAAAUGGGGAUGACAGAACCCCCAGUCCCCUCUGAAACCAACUAGGGUUUACUAAAAUAAUUUUCAAUGAACCUGAAAUGCCCUUCUAAAAUGCCCAUCAUUUUUGUCUUGGUUCAGAACCUCUGCCAAAAGUGGUGCACAUUUUCCUAGGCCAUCCUAGGGUUUUGAAUUAAAUCAUAACUAUUUGAAUUUGGGCAUUUAAAAUAAUAUAAAAUAUUUAAAUGNNNNNNNNNNNNNNNNNNNNNNNNNNNNNNNNNNNNNNNNNNNNNNNNNNNNNNNNNNNNNNNNNNNNNNNNNNNNNNNNNNNNNNNNNNNNNNNNNNNNGGAGCCAGCUAAGAAGCCACCCCCUCAGGCUUCAUCUCCACUGCUAACUUUGAGCUUCCCAAGCCUGCGCGCUGCCCCUGACGCGGGUUCGGCUGGAGAGGUGGGCCGACCAGCAGUGUGCCUUGAGCCUGGGUCUUUGCCGCCUUUCCAUCGCGACCUUGCCCGGGACGUGAUCAGCUUGCCCUAGGCCCCUCCUCUGAUCGUGAACAGUGAAUGGUUGAAGUCGAUCUUCGGCUCUUCUUCUGGGGAUGGAUCUGCACUGGCCUGGGUCCCUUGCGGGGCCCAUCCAGCGAUUGUGGGGGCACCAGCCCCUAGCCCCCUGUCGAGAGGGGGCGAACCACUUCAGGGCCCUCCGCCAACACCGGCGGCGGAGGACGAUAUCGACGACAUGCUCAAGCGUGUGUGGGAGUGCAGCGCCAUCCGCUAAGAGUUUCUCCGGAAGGCGACAGACGCGAUGGGCCAGCUCGGUGGAGAGCUCGCGGACGUGGACGCGUGUCUUGAAGCCGAAGGCCUGCGGCUGGUUGAGGAGCGGUGCAAGCUAAAGGUGGGAGUCAUCCUUGCGUGUCAUCAGCGUGAUCUUGAAAACACAAAGGCCGAAGCAUCCCUUGUGGCCUCGCGAAAGGCCUUCUCCCGAGCCAUUGAGGACGCUCAGGAGGCAGACCGAUGUCGCGAGAUCGCGGAGAGGCGCGCGUGGCAGCUCCAAGCCUGGAGUACUUCCCUGGAGCAGCAAGUGGAGCUGCGCCAAGCUGCCCUUGCGUUGCUGAAGGGGAUGCCUGUCGAAGAGGAGGAGCUCCAGAAGCGCGAGGAAUCGCUAACGCUGGAGGCUGCCGAGCGCAACCUCGAUCUUGAGCGGUUGGAGACGAGGGAGCACCAGGUUACCCAGGCGGAGGACGACGUCGGUGCGCGGGAGGCCCGAAUCCAAGAAGAGAUCGAACGCCGCGUAGCGGAAGUCCACGCGGGCCUUGUGUGUGAGUAUGGUGAGAAGUUGGAGCUGAUCGAAGUCGAGGCUGCGAGCAGGACUGCCGCUCUCAGGACCAAGUUGACCGAAGCGACGCGGUGCGCGGAGGCCACCACAGCUGCCCUAGCCACGGCGCAGGCCGAGUGGGUCUCGUCCCUUGUUGAGUUGCUUCUUCUCCAACAGAGGGUCGAUGACGCCGAGGCCAUUGCUCGGCGGAACGAAGAAGAGAUUGCCAGACGCUGGAGCACAUGCAUGACCCCAUGCUCCAAACGCUCAGGGACAGGGCCAACACGGACCUUGGCAAUAUCUGUGAUGCGACUGCUAGACAACCUCAUGUGACCAAGUAUGCCGGCAAUCUCCAGUUAUUCACUGACGUGGUGACGCAUAUGGAGAAGGAACAAUGCUACUAUCCUUUUUACCACACUUGUGCUUUAAAGUAGCACGAUGAUCUUCAUGAUAGAGAGUCUCCUAUGUUGUCACUUUCAUAUACUAGUGGGAAUUUUUCAUUAUAGAACUUGGCUUGUAUAUUCCAAUGAUGGGCUUCCUCAAAAUGCCAUAGGUCUUCGUGAGCAAGUGAGUUGGAUGCACACCCACUUAGUUUCUUUUAUUGAGCUUUCAUACAUUUAUAGCUCUAGUGCAUCCGUUGCAUGGCAAUCCCUACUCACUCAGAUUGAUAUCUAUUAAUGGGCAUCUCCAUAGCCCUUUGAUACACCUAGUUGAUGUGAGACUAUCUUCUCCUUUUUUGUCUUCUCCACAACCACCAUUCUAUUCCACAUAUAGUGCUAUGUCCAUGGAUCACGCUCGUGUAUUGCAUGAAAGUUGAAAAAGUUCGAGAUUGCUAAAGUAUGAAACAAUUGCUUGGCUUGUCAUCGGGGUUGUGCAUGAUUAAAUACUUUGUGUGAUGAAGAUAGAGCAACAGCUAGACUAUAUGAUUUUGUAGGGAUAACUUCCGUUAGCCAUGUUAUUUUGAGAAGACAUGAUUGCUUUGAUUAGUAUGCUUGAAGUAUUACUAGUUCUUAUGUCAAUAUGAACUUUUAUUUUGAAUCAUUUGGAUCUGAACAUUCAUGCCACAAUAAAGAAAAUUACAUUGAGAAUUAUGCUAGGUAGCAUUCAACAUCAAAAAUUCUGUUUUUAUCAUUACCUACUAGAGGACGAGCAAGAAUUAAGCUUGGGGAUGGUUGAUACGUCUCCAAAGUAUCUAUAAUUUUUUAUUGUUCCAUGUUAUUAUAUUACCUGUUUUGGAUGUUUAUGGGCUUUAUUUUACACAUUUACAUCAUUUUUGGGACUAACCUACUAACCGGAGGCCCAGCCUUUAUUGAUGUUUUUUUUGCCUAUUUCAGUAUUUCGAAGAAAAGGAAUAUCAAACGGAGUCCAAAUGCAAUGAAACUUUCGGGAGUGUGAUUUUUGGAAUGAACGUGACCCAGAGGACUUGGAGUGCAAGUCAAGAGGCAGCCGAGGCUGCCACAAGGGUGGAGGGCGCGCCCACCCCCUGUAGGGCGCGCCCCCUAUCUCGUGGGCCCCUCAGGCGGCCACCGACCUACUUCUUCCUCCUAUAUAUACCCACGUACCCCGAGAACAUCAGAACAAGCCAUGAAAACCUAAUUCCACCACCGCAACAUUCUGCAUCCGCGAGAUCCCAUCUUGGAGCCUUCGUCGGUGCUCCGCCAGAGGGGGAAUCGACCAUGGAGGGCUUCUACAUCAACACCAUAGCCCCUCCGAUGAGUUGUAAGUAGUUUACCAUAGACCUUCAGGUCCAUAGUUAUUAGCUAGAUGGCUUCUUCUCUCUUUUUGGAUCUCAAUACCAUGUUUACCCCGAUCUUCUUGGAGAUCUAUUCGAUGUAACUCUUUUUGCGGUGUGUUUGUCGAGAUCCAAUGAAUUGUGGGUUUAUGAUCAAGUUUAUCUAUGAGAAAUAUUUGAAUCUCCUCUGAAUUCUUUUAUGUAUGAUAUAGUUAUCUUUGCAAGUCUCUUCGAGUUAUCAGUUUGGUUUGGCCUACUAGAUUGAUCUUUCUUGCAAUGGGAGAAGUGCUUAGCUUUGGGUUCAAUCUUGCGGUGUCCUUUCCCAGUGACAACAGGGGCAGCAAGGCACGUGUUGUAUUGUUGCCAUCGAGGAUAAAAAGAUGGGGUUUAUGUCAUAUUGCAUGAGUUUAUCCCUCUACAUCAUGUCAUCUUUCUUAAUGCGUUACUUUGUUCUUAUGAACUUAAUACUCUAGAUGCAUGCUGGAUAGCGGUCGAUGUUGUAAAGCCCAGGUAAUUAAGCUACAGUAAUCCCACGCUAAUGGUGCCACGUCACCACAGUUAUUGUUGUUAACCGUGCGAUGAUUCAAAACCAUUUCAAAAUUUAAAUUUAAAUUAAUGUCAACAAUAAAAGUUUUCAAAAUUUAAAACAAAAUUGUUCGGGAGGUGCCAUAUUUUGCAUAAGUAAAUAUGGUGUAAUAAACACAUUUUUAUAAAAUGCCUAGAUAAUUUAAAAUAAUUUAAAACAAAAAAGAAAUUACAAAAUAGAAAGAAACAAACAACCAAAAUAAAUAAAUAAAUGGACCCCCCCACUGGGCCUCGACCCAGCCGGCCCAAUCGGCCCAACCAUCCCGCACCCCCAUAACCUUCCCCACUCCUCCAGCUCGCCCACCGACACCCACACUCCCCCACCCCCGAAAUAUCCCCCCUCUCCCCCGAUUGGAUCGUGAUCGAGGGGGAGCCGCUCACCGCCGCGUCCCGAUGCCGUCUCGCCGCGAGGCCGCACCGCCAUCGCCGUCACCAUUCACCGGAGGAGCCUUGCCAGAGCUCNNNNNNNNNNNNNNNNNNNNNNNNNNNNNNNNNNNNNNNNNNNNNNNNNNNNNNNNNNNNNNNNNNNNNNNNNNNNNNNNNNNNNNNNNNNNNNNNNNNNGGAGCCAGCUAAGAAGCCACCCCCUCAGGCUUCAUCUCCACUGCUAACUUUGAGCUUCCCAAGCCUGCGCGCUGCCCCUGACGCGGGUUCGGCUGGAGAGGUGGGCCGACCAGCAGUGUGCCUUGAGCCUGGGUCUUUGCCGCCUUUCCAUCGCGACCUUGCCCGGGACGUGAUCAGCUUGCCCUAGGCCCCUCCUCUGAUCGUGAACAGUGAAUGGUUGAAGUCGAUCUUCGGCUCUUCUUCUGGGGAUGGAUCUGCACUGGCCUGGGUCCCUUGCGGGGCCCAUCCAGCGAUUGUGGGGGCACCAGCCCCUAGCCCCCUGUCGAGAGGGGGCGAACCACUUCAGGGCCCUCCGCCAACACCGGCGGCGGAGGACGAUAUCGACGACAUGCUCAAGCGUGUGUGGGAGUGCAGCGCCAUCCGCUAAGAGUUUCUCCGGAAGGCGACAGACGCGAUGGGCCAGCUCGGUGGAGAGCUCGCGGACGUGGACGCGUGUCUUGAAGCCGAAGGCCUGCGGCUGGUUGAGGAGCGGUGCAAGCUAAAGGUGGGAGUCAUCCUUGCGUGUCAUCAGCGUGAUCUUGAAAACACAAAGGCCGAAGCAUCCCUUGUGGCCUCGCGAAAGGCCUUCUCCCGAGCCAUUGAGGACGCUCAGGAGGCAGACCGAUGUCGCGAGAUCGCGGAGAGGCGCGCGUGGCAGCUCCAAGCCUGGAGUACUUCCCUGGAGCAGCAAGUGGAGCUGCGCCAAGCUGCCCUUGCGUUGCUGAAGGGGAUGCCUGUCGAAGAGGAGGAGCUCCAGAAGCGCGAGGAAUCGCUGACGCUGGAGGCUGCCGAGCGCAACCUCGAUCUUGAGCGGUUGGAGACGAGGGAGCACCAGGUUACCCAGGCGGAGGACGACGUCGGUGCGCGGGAGGCCCGAAUCCAAGAAGAGAUCGAACGCCGCGUAGCGGAAGUCCGCGCGGGCCUUGUGUGUGAGUAUGGUGAGAAGUUGGAGCUGAUCGAAGUCGAGGCUGCGAGCAGGACUGCCGCUCUCAGGACCAAGUUGACCGAAGCGACGCGGUGCGCGGAGGCCACCACAGCUGCCCUAGCCACGGCGCAGGCCGAGUGGGUCUCGUCCCUUGUUGAGUUGCUUCUUCUCCAACAGAGGGUCGAUGACGCCGAGGCCAUUGCUCGGCGGAACGAAGAAGAGAUUGCCAGACGCUGGAGCACAUGCAUGACCCCAUGCUCCAAACGCUCAGGGACAGGGCCAACACGGACCUUGGCAAUAUCUGUGAUGCGACUGCUAGACAACCUCAUGUGACCAAGUAUGCCGGCAAUCUCCAGUUAUUCACUGACGUGGUGACGCAUCUGGAGAAGGAACAAUGCUACUAUCCUUUUUACCACACUUGUGCUUUAAAGUAGCACGAUGAUCUUCAUGAUAGAGAGUCUCCUAUGUUGUCACUUUCAUAUACUAGUGGGAAUUUUUCAUUAUAGAACUUGGCUUGUAUAUUCCAAUGAUGGGCUUCCUCAAAAUGCCAUAGGUCUUCGUGAGCAAGUGAGUUGGAUGCACACCCACUUAGUUUCUUUUAUUGAGCUUUCAUACAUUUAUAGCUCUAGUGCAUCCGUUGCAUGGCAAUCCCUACUCACUCAGAUUGAUAUCUAUUAAUGGGCAUCUCCAUAGCCCUUUGAUACACCUAGUUGAUGUGAGACUAUCUUCUCCUUUUUUGUCUUCUCCACAACCACCAUUCUAUUCCACAUAUAGUGCUAUGUCCAUGGAUCACGCUCGUGUAUUGCAUGAAAGUUGAAAAAGUUCGAGAUUGCUAAAGUAUGAAACAAUUGCUUGGCUUGUCAUCGGGGUUGUGCAUGAUUAAAUACUUUGUGUGAUGAAGAUAGAGCAACAGCUAGACUAUAUGAUUUUGUAGGGAUAACUUCCGUUAGCCAUGUUAUUUUGAGAAGACAUGAUUGCUUUGAUUAGUAUGCUUGAAGUAUUACUAGUUCUUAUGUCAAUAUGAACUUUUAUUUUGAAUCAUUUGGAUCUGAACAUUCAUGCCACAAUAAAGAAAAUUACAUUGAGAAUUAUGCUAGGUAGCAUUCAACAUCAAAAAUUCUGUUUUUAUCAUUACCUACUAGAGGACGAGCAAGAAUUAAGCUUGGGGAUGGUUGAUACGUCUCCAAAGUAUCUAUAAUUUUUUAUUGUUCCAUGUUAUUAUAUUACCUGUUUUGGAUGUUUAUGGGCUUUAUUUUACACAUUUACAUCAUUUUUGGGACUAACCUACUAACCGGAGGCCCAGCCUUUAUUGAUGUUUUUUUUGCCUAUUUCAGUAUUUCGAAGAAAAGGAAUAUCAAACGGAGUCCAAAUGCAAUGAAACUUUCGGGAGUGUGAUUUUUGGAAUGAACGUGACCCAGAGGACUUGGAGUGCAAGUCAAGAGGCAGCCGAGGCUGCCACAAGGGUGGAGGGCGCGCCCACCCCCUGUAGGGCGCGCCCCCUAUCUCGUGGGCCCCUCAGGCGGCCACCGACCUACUUCUUCCUCCUAUAUAUACCCACGUACCCCGAGAACAUCAGAACAAGCCAUGAAAACCUAAUUCCACCACCGCAACAUUCUGCAUCCGCGAGAUCCCAUCUUGGAGCCUUCGUCGGUGCUCCGCCAGAGGGGGAAUCGACCAUGGAGGGCUUCUACAUCAACACCAUAGCCCCUCCGAUGAGUUGUAAGUAGUUUACCAUAGACCUUCAGGUCCAUAGUUAUUAGCUAGAUGGCUUCUUCUCUCUUUUUGGAUCUCAAUACCAUGUUUACCCCGAUCUUCUUGGAGAUCUAUUCGAUGUAACUCUUUUUGCGGUGUGUUUGUCGAGAUCCAAUGAAUUGUGGGUUUAUGAUCAAGUUUAUCUAUGAGAAAUAUUUGAAUCUCCUCUGAAUUCUUUUAUGUAUGAUAUAGUUAUCUUUGCAAGUCUCUUCGAGUUAUCAGUUUGGUUUGGCCUACUAGAUUGAUCUUUCUUGCAAUGGGAGAAGUGCUUAGCUUUGGGUUCAAUCUUGCGGUGUCCUUUCCCAGUGACAACAGGGGCAGCAAGGCACGUGUUGUAUUGUUGCCAUCGAGGAUAAAAAGAUGGGGUUUAUGUCAUAUUGCAUGAGUUUAUCCCUCUACAUCAUGUCAUCUUUCUUAAUGCGUUACUUUGUUCUUAUGAACUUAAUACUCUAGAUGCAUGCUGGAUAGCGGUCGAUGUUGUAAAGCCCAGGUAAUUAAGCUACAGUAAUCCCACGCUAAUGGUGCCACGUCACCACAGUUAUUGUUGUUAACCGUGCGAUGAUUCAAAACCAUUUCAAAAUUUAAAUUUAAAUUAAUGUCAACAAUAAAAGUUUUCAAAAUUUAAAACAAAAUUGUUCGGGAGGUGCCAUAUUUUGCAUAAGUAAAUAUGGUGUAAUAAACACAUUUUUAUAAAAUGCCUAGAUAAUUUAAAAUAAUUUAAAACAAAAAAGAAAUUACAAAAUAGAAAGAAACAAACAACCAAAAUAAAUAAAUAAAUGGACCCCCCCACUGGGCCUCGACCCAGCCGGCCCAAUCGGCCCAACCAUCCCGCACCCCCAUAACCUUCCCCACUCCUCCAGCUCGCCCACCGACACCCACACUCCCCCACCCCCGAAAUAUCCCCCCUCUCCCCCGAUUGGAUCGUGAUCGAGGGGGAGCCGCUCACCGCCGCGUCCCGAUGCCGUCUCGCCGCGAGGCCGCACCGCCAUCGCCGUCACCAUUCACCGGAGGAGCCUUGCCAGAGCUCNNNNNNNNNNNNNNNNNNNNNNNNNNNNNNNNNNNNNNNNNNNNNNNNNNNNNNNNNNNNNNNNNNNNNNNNNNNNNNNNNNNNNNNNNNNNNNNNNNNNCUUCCUACCAAACUUACGGCAAGGUUUACAUCAGGUCUAGUACACAGCAUGGCAUACAUAAUAGAUCCUAUGGCUGAGGCAUAGGGGAUGACACUCAUCUCUUCUUUAUCUUUUGCCGUGGUCGGGCAUUGAACCGAGCUCAAUAUCACACCUUGCAAUACAGGCAAGAACCCUUUCUUGGACUGAUCCAUUUUGAACUUCUUCAAAAUCUUAUCAAGGUAUGUGCUUUGUGAAAGACCUAUGAGGCGUCUCGAUCUAUCCCUAUAGAUUUUGAUGCCUAAUAUGUAAGCAGCUUCUCCAAGGUCCUUCAUUGAAAAACACUUAUUCAAGUAGGCCUUAAUGCUGUCCAAGAAUUCUAUAUCAUUUCCCAUCAAAAGUAUGUCAUCUACAUAUAAUAUGAGAAAUGCUACAGAGCUCCCACUCACUUUCUUGUAAACGCAGGCUUCUCCAUAAGUCUGCAUAAACCCAAACACUUUGAUCAUCUCAUCAAAGCGAAUGUUCCAACUCCGAGAUGCUUGCACCAGCCCAUAAAUGGAUCGCUAGAGCUUUCAUACUUUGUUAGCAUUCUUAGGAUCGACAAAACCUUCCGGCUGCAUCAUAUACAGCUCUUCCUUAAGAUAACCGUUAAGGAAUGCCGUUUUGACGUCCAUCUGCCAUAUCUCAUAAUCAUAGUAUGCGGCAAUUGCUAACAUGAUUCGGACGGACUUAAGCUUCGCUACGGGAGAGAAAGUCUCGUCGUAGUCAAUCCCUUGAACUUGUCAAUAACCCUUAGCGACAAGUCGAGCUUUAUAGAUGGUGACAUUACCAUCCGCAUCCGUCUUCUUCUUAAAGAUCCAUUUGUUUUCUAUCGAUCGCCGAUCAUCGGGCAAGUCAGUCAAAGUCCAUACUUUGUUUUCAUACAUGGAUUCUAUCUCCGAUUGCAUGGCUUCAAGCCAUUUGUUGGAAUCUGGGCCCGCCAUCGCUUCUUCAUAGUUCGAAGGUUCACCGUUGUCUAACAACAUGAUUUCCAGGACAGGGUUGCCAUACCACUCUGGUGUGGAACGUGUCCUUGUGGACCUACAAAGUUCAGUAGCAACUUGAUCCGAAGUACCUUGAUCAUCAUCAUUAAUUUCCUCUCCAGUCGGUGUAGGCACCACAGGAACAUUUUCCUGAGCUACACUAGUUUCAGGUUCAAGAGGUAGUACUUCAUCGAGUUCUACUUUCCUCCCACUUACUACUUUCGAGAGAAACUCUUUUUCCAGAAAGGAUCCGUUCUUGGCAACAAAGAUCUUGCCCUUGGAUCUUAAGUAGAAGGUAUACCCAAUAGUUUCCUUGGGGUAUCCUAUGAAGACGCAUUUUUCCGAUUUGGGUUCGAGCUUUUUAGGUUGAAGCUUCUUGACAUAAGCAUCGCAUCCCCAAACUUUUAGAAAUGACAGCUUAGGUUUCUUCCCAAACCAUAAUUCAUACGGUGUCGUCUCAACGGAUUUAGACGGUGCCCUAUUUAAAGUGAAUGUAGCUGUCUUUAGAGCGUAUCCCCAAAAUGAUAGCGGUAAAUCGGUAAGAGACAUCAUAUAUCACACCAUAUCCAAUAGAGUGCGAUUACGACGUUUGGACACACCGUUACGCUGAGGUGUUCCAGGUGGCGUGAGUUGUGAAAUGAUUCCACAUUUUCUUAAGUGUGUACCAAAUUCGUGACUUAAAUAUUCUCCUCCACGAUCCGAUCGUAAGAAUUUUAUCUUUCGGUCACGUUGAUUCUCUACUUCAUUCUGAAAUUCCUUGAACUUUUCAAAGGUCUCAGACUUGUGUUUCAUCAAGUAGACAUACCCAUAUCUACUUAAGUCAUCAGUGAGAGUGAGAACAUAACGAUAUCCUCCGCGAGCCUCAACGCUCAUUGGACCACACACAUCAGUAUGUAUGAUUUCCAAUAAGUUGGUUGCUCGCUCCAUAGUUCCGGAGAACGGAGUCUUGGUCAUUUUGCCCAUGAGGCAUGGUUCGCAUGUGUCAAAUGAUUCAUAAUCGAGAGACUCUAAAAGUCCAUCAGCAUGGAGCUUCUUCAUGCGCUUGACACCAAUGUGACCAAGGCGGCAGUGCCACAAGUAUGUGGAACUAUCGUUAUCCACUUUACAUCUUUUGGUAUUCACACUAUGAAUAUGUGUAACAUUACGUUCGAGAUUCAUUAACGAUAAACCAUUGACCAUCGGGGCAUGACCAUAAAACAUAUCUCUCAUAUAAAUAGAACAACCAUUAUUCUCGGAUUUAAAUGAGUAGCCAUCUCGCAUCAAACGAGAUCCAGAUACAAUGUUCAUGCUCAAACUUGGCACUAAAUAACAAUUAUUGAGGUUUAAAACUAAUCCCGUAGGUAAAUGUAGAGGUAGCAAGGACUUCAGUCCAUCUGUCGGCUAGCAAGUCUUGGUCAGCUCUAAGCUGCUGCUGUUUUUUCUUGAGGAUGCUCGCCGUGGCCAUAAGCCUGCGUUUGAAACGCUCUUGUUCAACAGGAUCCUCAGGCACGACAAAUUCGUCGUCGUCAAGGCUUGCCUCGUCUUCGAAGGGAGGCAUGUAAUUAUCGUCCUCUACCUCUCUGUCUGCCGCUCUCUCAUGAGGGCUGGCUUCUCCAUCCUCCUGUGCUGAAUCCUGCUGGAGGGGGUUGUCUUCGGCACUGUCCGGGGUGUUACUAUCUCCCGUGCCGGAAUCGCCGUUUUUGCUUUGGCGGGAUUUAGAGCGGCGCCUCUGACGCCGGCGCUUAGGCUGUUUCUUGGAGGGGUCAUCCUCCGUUGUUCCAUCGCCAUUCCCUUCUUUUGGGGUGUCCACUAUAUAUAUGUCGUAUGACGAGGUGGCUUUCCAGUGCCCUAUAGGCGCUGGUUCUUGGUCGUCUCCUGCAUCGGCGUCCAUACCAUCGAUGUCUUCGGAGUCGAAGUCGAGCAUGUCGAUUAAAUCAUCGACAGUGGCUACGAAGUGGGUGGUGGGUGGGCUUUGAAUUUCUUCGUCGUCUGCAUCCCAAUCUUGCUGACCAUAGUCCGGCCAGGGCUCUCCUGAUAAAGAGAGAGACUUUAGUGAAUUCAGGAUGUCGCCGAAGGGCGAGUGCUGAAAGAUGUCCGCGGUGGCGAACUCCAUGAUCGGCGCCGAAUCGGGAUCGAUCAGCAGGGGCGCGGAAGGUUCGGAGUCCGGAAAGGAGUCCGGCACCUUGGAGUCACGAGCUUCGCAAAGGACAAGGCUGGUGUUCGUCUCGAUCGCCAUAGAGAUUGCAGCUCCCGAGGCAGUGUCCAGCCACCCAUCCUCGAUUGGGCAGUCGGCUCCGAGCUAAGGGUCGGAGCGGACACUGGGGCGGUCUCCUGGGCACUGUUCGGCGACAGAGCUAGAUCAUGCCCAUCGUGACAGUGCAGCGCGCUUGGCUGUGGCUCGAACCCGUCGAAGAUCAAGUCUCCGCGGAUGUCAGCCGUGUAGUUCAAACUUGCAAACCUGACCUGAUGGCCAGGGGCCUAGCUUUCGAUCUGCUCCAGAUGACCAAGCGAAUUGGCCCGCAGUGCAAAGCCGCCAAAUACGAAGAUCUAUCGGGGGUGAAAAGUCUCACCCUGGACCGCAUUGUUGUUGAUGAUCGGAGGAGCCAUCGGGCCUAAAGAUGAUGACACAGGGGAACUCUCAAUGAAAGCACCAAUGUCGGUGUCAAAACCGGCGGAUCUCGGGUAGGGGGUCCCGAACUGUGCGUCUAGGCGGAUGGUAACAGGAGACAAGGGACACGAUGUUUUUACCCAGGUUCGGGCCCUCUNNNNNNNNNNNNNNNNNNNNNNNNNNNNNNNNNNNNNNNNNNNNNNNNNNNNNNNNNNNNNNNNNNNNNNNNNNNNNNNNNNNNNNNNNNNNNNNNNNNNAUCACACCCGUGCAGCUGCUCCUUCCGCUGGCAUCCUGCCAAGAACCUGCCGCUAGUCCACUCCUCUUUGUUUGUUGGCUCGAAGCCAUCAAGACACUUGCACAUUGGGACUGGUGCCGCCGUCUCAUCGCAGUAGCCAUACGGGCCACAGUAACCAUGGAGGUUGCAUUCAACAGCUGGCCACUUCAUAAGGACAACCCACGCCGACAAGUUGCUACUCCAGCUCUUGAGGUAAUACUCACCUGAGUAGGUCAGCACUGACCUUGUGAGUGGGGCGCCCUCAGAGAGGCUAUAUGUGCCAUAGAUCUCAUCACCGUUGUCGACCACGGCGAUGUACAUGAUAAGAUCACUAAAACUCAUUGUCCCUGCUAGCUGUUUUUGGCUGACGCUAGUCACUUGGAUCCCCGUCCAGGGAUUGCCACGGGUCACCAAGCUCUCCCCGUCCCACAGGAAUACUUGGAGGGGUGUGUCUGGGUCGCCACCGUAGGAGAAGCGCCCUGGAGAGGGAUCGUUGGGGCCCUUCCAGGAAACCAGACGAUCCCCAGUACCGUUUGUGCUGUAUUUGAUCCGCAUCUUCAUCCCCGGGAGGAGCGUGUCUGUGCGGUGGUCGAAGCUCUGCCACACUGUGGUGCCGUUUGACAAGCGAAUGAUGAGGUUGCCGGUGUUCAGAAGCACCGCCGUCGGGGUAGAUGAGCCCGGGGAAAUAGUUGUCACGUUGGCCCUCGUCCAAAGGAUACGGACACUAUUGUUAGCUUCGGAGAUAAUGAGAUUGGAGGUGUUGGUGAGGGAGAGCAUGGGUGCAAAGGAAGUGAUGUUGGUGACUGGGGUUUCACGGUUCGCAACCCACACAACUGUGAACUCAGAGAUGUUGUUGUACCAUAUACCAAGGUACAGCUUGGCUGGAGUGGAGUUGGAGGGGUUGAAGAAGCCCAAGGAGAACGUGCCACCAUCGGAGAUGAUGGUGUUGCCGGGAUACAGCGACUUGCCAGGGACAAGCCGGUCGUCCGAGCCGCACAACGGCAGGAAUAAAAUGAUCAGGGCCACGGUGCAGAGAGCCCGAGAAUCCAUCAAUCGACAAUGCAAAAAUCUUCGUUACUAAGCAGUAACUAGCUGUAGGCUAUAUAUAGUUGCUGCCAAAUGGAGAUAGCACUUGCAUCGAACCUUGGUCUACAAGUAAAUAUGUUUUCACGAACACAGGAAAGCAGCUUCCACGAAAGUUCUAUCGCAGAAGCAAACGAUUGAAUAAUGGAAAGUUGAGGGAUUCAAGAGUUGGUUUCAAAGUCUGAGUGCGUAGUUUAUAAUUCAGCUGUCCACACUGAAAUUUGGAUGCCACCAUCACUGCUGACUAGAUAGCCAUGUUUUUUCUACUUUUUCUACAUUAUGUUUUUGAAAUGACUAAAAGACGCACACAUAAUACUUACGUAGUCGCAGACACAUACUUAAGAGAAGAGUCAUGUAGUUUCAAAAUUAACAAAGUUACAAUAUGGAUGUAUUGCUAGCAACAAGGAAAUCACCCACCACGAAAAGAAAAAUUUGCAUUAGUUAGUCAUACAGAUCGAGUCAAACAUAACGUUCGAUCAGUCUCGGUGGUGGCUGAAAAAUAUAAUUCACCUCCUAACCUUCUAACCAAUGAUUGAUUUUUGACUAGUAGCUAUUGACCGAGACAUUGACCUAUACUGACCCGGCCACGAUCAUAUAUGGUCCAGCUCCGACGCGGCUAUUGGGUCCCAGUAUUUGAAGUUGUUGGUCAAACCUACAGGCAGAUGCGUGCAGUACCAACAGAAAAUGUAGUACUUCCAUUCUCAGACUGAAUUUUCUACAGUUUUAAUGUGCAGACUGAAUAUUCUCUUCCUCGUCAUGUAACAGCUGAAAAACAAAAAGAACCUGUAUAGUUUAAAAAGAAAAACUUUGCAGAUGGGUGAUGGAGCUACAAGCCUACAAAUGGAUUGUACCACCAUAAGACCUACUUAUGAAACAAUUUUGAGCUAUUUCAUGAAACUUUUGUUAUUAAGUGUUCUUUCAUGGAAUGUAUUUUCUAGUAUGGAAGACGGAUAGCUGACCUAUCUUCCCUCUAGAAGAGUAAUAAUCAGAAUGUUCAUUGAAUUUUGAUUUUUACAUGUUCUACCUACCUAUCAGUUAGCUACUUAUUUUGAUCUUCGCCAACUACCAUAGUUGAUUUCUGCUCACGACACGAUGGUUUCUCCUUUGGGACACGUUUGCUGAGAAGGGUGUGAUGAUGGUGUUUAUGCUUAUUUUAUCAUCAUCUUAGACUAGCAGUUGCAGAUGAACGCAUGCUUUUCAGUUUUCACACCCAUCAAUAUGUUUAUCUAAACUCGAAACGUUGAAUGUGACGCCCAAAUUUCGUCGGACUGCAUCAUUCUAUCCUACAAUUCUAUCUUCAAUAAACCACAACUUAAUUUCCAUUAUGAGAGCGAGAGAGAACAUUGGGAUCAAUGCAUGGUCAUGUUUUUUAUUUAAUAAUCCCUCCGUUGCUUUAUAUUAUGUGUAUUUAGUUUCUGAUAAAAUUUCACAAUGUAAGGUGUAUUUGUUCUAAUUCCUUGUAAUUCCAUUCUUGGCCCUCUAGAAAAAGGAAAAUAUCUCUCACCUGAUUGCAUGUAUCUCUCCCUGUAUAGAAAAAGGAAACUAUCUCUCUCAUGAUUAUGUGUAUCUAUUUCUUUUGCCUAAAUGAUUUACUUGCCCCUAAUGAACGAAAUUAACAAGGGUGAUUUUGUCCUAAAUUUCAUAUAAUAAUGUGCCUUGGUCACUACCAAAAAUAAGACACCUUACAUAAAUGAAUGGAGUAUAAAUGUAAGUACUUUACUGUGCAAAAUGACAUAGCUAGCAAUACCUACAGAAAAGGAAUGAAAACAUUGGAAGAUAACGACCUCCAACUAACUGAUACAUUGCCAUUUUGUUUCUUUAACGAAAUGUUUUUAAUUACGUAUAAGACUAAUCAUAAUCAUUCUACCGCCCUUAUAUAUCCGUAAGAGUAAGAUUGUUCAUGGAGUUUUGUAUGCCUACCCCGGUUUCUAAAUUUCCUUUUUUACCAUGCAAAACAUGCGCUCUGCUGAUUUCAUUAAGAUAGGAAAAAGAAAUAGAAUACAGAAGUUAUUUACAAGGGAUUUUUUUGAAAAGAUUUAGAAGGGACUAGCUAUAGAAAACUACAUGUUGGACAUUACCUAUGCUGCUCAAGGUCACUGUUGGGGAACGUAGUAAUUUCAAAAAAAAUCUUACGUCACACACAGGAUCAUGGUGAUGCAUAGCAACGAGAGGGGAGAGUAUGUCUACAUAACCUCGUAGAUCGAAAGUGGAAGCGUUAUAUCAACACGGUUGAUGUAGUCGUACGUCUUCACGAUCCGACCGAUCCAAGUACCGAAAGCACGGCACCUCCGAGUUCUGCACAUGUUCGGCUCGGUUACGUCCUCGCCUUCUCGAUCCAGCAAGAGGGGCGAAGUAGUAGAUGAGUUCCGGCAGCACGACGGCGUGGUGACGGUGUUGGUGAAUAACAAUCUCCGCAGGGCUUCGCCUAAGCACUACGAAAACUAUGACCGAGGAUAAACUAGAGGGGAUGGGGUAGCCGGCACAUGGCUUGGUGUUUCUUGAUGUGUCUUGGGUGCUACCCUACCCCUCUAUUUAUAUGUUGAGCCUUGGGGUCGAAACUUGGAGUAAAAGCCUCCACAAAAUCGGUUUCACCCGAAAGGCAAGAGUCCUUCUCGGACUCCAGGGCCAGACGCCAGGGUCCNNNNNNNNNNNNNNNNNNNNNNNNNNNNNNNNNNNNNNNNNNNNNNNNNNNNNNNNNNNNNNNNNNNNNNNNNNNNNNNNNNNNNNNNNNNNNNNNNNNNGUAAAAGACAUAAAGUAAAAGAUAGGCCCUUCACAGAUGGAAGAAGAGGUUGUCAUGUUCUUUUAGGGUUGGAUGCACAAAAUCUUAAUGCAAAAGAACAUCACUUUAUAUUGCCACUUGUGAUAUGAAACUUUAUUAUGCAGUCCAUCGCUUUUAUUACUUACAUAUCACACGAUCGUAUAAAGCUUAUGUUCUCCGCACUAAUAAGUCAUACAUAUUUAGAGAGGAAUUUUUAUUGCUUGCAACAUGACAACUUACUUGAAGGAUCUUACUCAAUCCAUAGGUAGGUAUGGUGGACUCUCAUGGCAAAAACUGGGUUUAAGGAUAUUUGGAAGAACAAGUAGUAUCUCUACUUGGUGCAAGGAAUUUUGGCUAGCAUGAGGGGGAAAGGCAAGCUCAACAUGUUUGAAUGAUCCAUGACCAUAUACUUUAAUUGAGAUGUGAGAAAACAUAAACCAUUACGUUGUCUUCCUUAUCCAACAUUAACUCUUUAGCAUGUCAUACUUUAAUGAGUGCUCACAAUUAUAAAAGAUGUCCAAGAUAGUAUAUUUAUAUGUGAAAACCUCUCUUUCUUUAUUACUUCCUAUUAAUUGCAACGAUGACCAAAACUAUGUUUAUCAACUUUCAACAACUUUUAAGUCUCAUACUCUUUAUAUGUGAAGUCAUUACUAUCCAUAAGAUCAAUAUGAACUCUUUUAUUCUCUUUUUUAUUCUUUCUAUUUUAUCAAAAUCAUAGCAAGAUAGGAAAGCCUUGACUCAACACUAAUCUUUAUUCUAUAGCUCACGGACUCGAUUACAUAAAGGGAUCACAAAGCAAAAUUCAAAACUAAUUCAUACCAAAACUUCAUUCUACUAGGUCAAGAUAUUACAAAAAGGAUCGAACUAAGAAAAACGGUAAAGACAGGAGUGUGAUGGUGAUAUGAUACUGGGGCACCUCCCCCAAGCUUGGCAGUUGCCAAGGGGAGUGCCCAUACCCAUGUGAUUAUGUCCUCGAAGGUGAUGAAGGUGGAGUUGUUGAUGAUGUAGGCUUGUCGUCCGUCUUCCAAGGCAUAGGCUCACCAUCAUAGAACGAGUCUCCGAGAUCCUCAAAUCUGCAGCCAAACUCAUCCUCUUGAAUCUAUAUUCAUACUCACAGUUUUGGUUUUGCGGGUCAUGGAUCUGGGCUUGGAGAUGCUCGAUUUUUUCAUGAAGCUUGAAGAUGGUCUCCCCAAUGUUCUUGGCGUCCAGCUUGUGGUUGUUGGUGAAUUCCACGAUCAUCAUCUAGUUGGUGUUAGGUCCACGCUCCACCAUCCCUUGGCACUUGAAAACUUGUUGUUCCAUAGCUUCCAGCUUUGUCUCCACGCUUCCGGUACGCCUUGGUCCCUCCACUUCGCGGAUGUGCAGCACCCCCUCAAGAUAGGGGUUGAUAACUGUCGGUGUCCAAACCGGCGGAUCUCGGGUAGGGGGGUCCCGAACUGUGCGUCUAGGCGGAUGGUAACAGGAGACAAGGGACACGAUGUUUUACCCAGGUUCGGGCCCUCUCGAUGGAGGUAAAACCCUACGUCCUGCUUGAUUGAUAUUGAUAUUGUGGAUGUUUACAAGAGUGGAUCUACCACGAGAUCAAGGAGGCUAAACCCUAGAAGCUAGCCUAUGGUAUGAUUGUAAGGGUUGUUGUUGUUGUUGUUGUUGUUGUUGUUGUUGUUGUCCUAUGGACUAGAGCCAUCCGUUUUAUAUAGACACCGGAGAGGGCUAGGGUUACAUAGAGUCGGUUACAAUGGUAGGAGAUCUAUGUAUCCGUAUCGCCAAGCUUGCCUUCCACGCCAAGGAAAGUCCCAUCCGGACACGGGACGAAGUCUUCAAUCUUGUAUCUUCAUAGUCUUGGAGUCCGGUAGAUGAUGAUAGUCCGGUCGAUGAUAGUUCGGCUGAUGAUGGUAGUCCGGCUAUCCGGACACCCCCUAAUCUAGGACUCCCUUAGUAGCCCCUGAACCAGGCUUCAAUGACGAUAAGUCCGGCACGUAUAUUGCUUGGCAUUGCAAGGCGGGUUCCUCCUCCGAAUGAUAGAAGAUUGUGAACACCAGGAUAGUGUCCGGCUCUGCAAAAUAAAUUCCACAUUCCACCAUAGAGAGAAUAAUAUAUACACAAGUUCAAUCUGCUGACGUUUUUUGUGGCAUGACGUCACGCCACUACCAAGCCAUUACUUGAAUCGUUUUUUACUCUACCACCUCAGCGCAUUUAGCGAAGUGGUUUCCUUGGCACGUCUUGUCGAAGCAGAGAUCGUGUUCCCCCUUAAUCCGGGAUUCUCAUCAAUACGGACGUGGGUAACCCAACCGCGCCAUUGAUGGUGACGCUUGGGGGAUAAGCGAGUUUUACCAAGCUAGUGGGGGACGCGUAGACUUCGCCCGCCCAUAUAAGGGAUAAGGAUUCACCUUUUCACCUACGCCUUCUUCCUCCUUUGCUUAUCCAUCUCCGCGCACUCGAGCUCCAGCGCCCAAGGCCGCACAUCUCGUCUCAACCUUCCCCACUUAUAUCCGGAGUGGGAGGCAAGUGGAUGACCUCCUCCGUCACGGAGGAGCACAUCGAAAGACUGCGCAGCGCCGGCCACCUGUCCGGCGACAUCGCGCACCGGCUGCCCGACGAGGGGCAGCUCAUCCCCACCCCCAGGCCGCAUGAGAGGGUCAUUUUUCUUCCCCACUUCCUCCGCGGAAUGGGGUUUUCCACUUCAACCCUUUGUCCGGGGGCUCAUGUUCUACUACGGCCUGGAUUUCCAUGAUCUGGCACCGAACUUCAUCCUCAACAUCUCGGCGUUUAUCGUCAUGUGCGAGUCCUUCCUCUGCAUCCAGCCCCACUUCGGCUUGUGGCUCAAGACCUUCAAUGUCAAGCCGAAGGUAGUGAAGGGCACUCAUCCGGAGUGCGGAGGCGCCAUGUUGGGCAAGAUGCCCAAUUUCCUUUGGUUCGAAGGGGCCUUCGUGGAAUCCGUCAAGGGGUGGCAAUCGGGGUGGUUCUAUAUCACCGAGCCGCGCGACCCUAAGUGGGCGGAGGCCCCCGAGUUCAGAUCUGGUAUCCCCAUGCAGCUCACCUCCUGGAAAGAGAAGGGCUUGCUGUGGGGUAGCUCGGAGGAGCUGACGGGACUCCAAGCCUGUAUCCAGAAGCUGGUGAAGAAGCUUAGGCUGGUUAACAUGGUCCAAGUCAUGCUCGUCCGCCGGAUUCUCCCAUGCCAAGAGCGGGCAUUCAAUCUGUGGGAGUUCAAUCCGGAACAGCACCAGGCGCUGAGCAGGCUCUUUGACACGACGUACGAAGGCGCCUGGAGGGUGCUUUUUAAGGGCGCCGAAGCCCCCGCAUCCGCGACUGAAGAUCGCGGAUUUCGCUCGCAACGCCAAGCCGACGAGGUAAGUGAUUCUACCCCUUUACGGGACACUUGCUUUUCAUAGUUUGACUCUAUGCGGGUUUUAAUUUCCCCUUUUCCUUUGACAGGACUGGAUGUGGAAGGCGGAGCAGAUUAUCUGCCUGGCUCCCAUGCCAGAAAACCCAGUAGACGCCCAUCUAGCGAAGCUGCUGGUUCCGGCACCGCACAUGGUGCCGGAGAAGAAGGCCAAGAAGGAGGCCACGGGUGCUCGAAAGAGUUCCCGUUUUUAGGUGUCCGACGACUCCGGGGCGGACUCCUCCCCCGAAAACGAGGAGGAGAAAGAGGACUCUCUCCCAGAGGAGGGAGAGAGGAAGAGGAAGGCUUCCCCAACAGGGGAGGCCGAAGGGUCCAAGAGGGGAANNNNNNNNNNNNNNNNNNNNNNNNNNNNNNNNNNNNNNNNNNNNNNNNNNNNNNNNNNNNNNNNNNNNNNNNNNNNNNNNNNNNNNNNNNNNNNNNNNNNAAUGAUGGUAAAUGUCACCAUUAAGAAAGCUCGACUUGUCGUUAAGAUGUUUUCCGACAAGUUCAAGGAGUUGACUACGAUGAGAUUUUCUCACUCGUAGCGAUGCUAAGAGUCUGUUGGAAUUAUAUUAGCGAUUACUGCAUUAUUUAUGAAAUCUUGCAGAUAGGAUGUCAAAACAUUGUUUCCUCGACGAUUUUAAUGAGGAAAGGUUGUAUGUGAUACAACCGGAAGGUUUUGUCAAUCCCGAAAGAUGCUAAUAAGUAUGCAAAGCUCCAGCAAUCCUUCUAAGGACUGGAGUGAGCAUCUCGGAGUUGGAAUGUAUGCUUUGAUGAUGAUCAAAGAUUUUGGGUUUGUACAAAGUUUAUGAGAAACUUGUAUUUCCAAAGAAGUGAGUGGGAGCACUAUAGAAUUUCUGAUGAGUAUAUGUUGUUGACAUAUUGAUGAUCAGAGAUGAUGUAGAAUUUCUAGAAAGCAUAUAGGGUUAUUUUGAAAGUGUUUUUCAAUGGAAAACCUGGAUUAAGCUACUUGAACAUUGAGCAUCAAGAUCUAUAAGGAUAGAUCAAAACGCUUAAUAGUACUUUCAAAUGAGCACAUACCUUGACAUGAUCUUGAAGGUGUUCAAGAUGGACCAGUCAAAGAAGGAGUUCUUGCCUGAGUUGUAAGGUACGAAGUCAAGACUUAAAGCUCGACCAUGGCAGAAUAGAGAGAAAGGACGAAGGUCGUCCCCUAUGCUUAAGAUGUAGGCUCUUCAGUAUGCUGUGCUGUGUACCGCACCUGAAGUGUGCCUUGCCAUGAGUCAGUCAAGGGGUACAAGAGUGAUCCAAGAAUGGAUCACAGGACAGCGGUCAAAGUUAUCCUUAGUAACUAGUGGACUAAGGAAUUUUCUCAAUUAUGGAGGUGGUAAAAGAGUUCGUCGUAAAGGGUUACGUCGAUGCAAGCUAAACACCUAUCCGGAUAGCUCUGAGUAGAGAUACCGGAUACGUACAAUGGGGCAACAAUUUAGAAUAGUUGCAAGUAGAACAUUUAUUUGGAAUAGCUCCAUAUAGAGCGUGGUAGCUGCAUCUAGGAGAUGACAUAAAGAUUUGUAAAGCACACACGAAUCUGAAAGGUUCAGACCCAUUGACUAAAACCUCUCUCACAAGCAACAUGAUCAAACAUAAAACUCAUUGAGUGUUAAUCACAUAGUGAUGUGAACUAGACUACUGACUCUAGUAAACUCUUGGGUAUUAGUCACAUGGCGAUGUGACCUGUGAGUGUUAAUCACAUGGCGAUGUGAACUAGAUUAUUGACUCUAGUGCAAGUGGGAGACUGUUGGAAAUAUGCCCUAGAGGCAAUAAUAAAAGUAUUAUUAUUAUAUUUCCUUGUUCAUGAUAAUUGUCUUUUAUUCAUGCUAUAACUGUAUUAUCCGGAAAUCGUAAUACACGUGUGAAUACAUAGACCACAAUAUGUCCCUAGUGAGCCUCUAGUUGACUAGCUCGUUGUGAUCAACAGAUAGUCAUGGUUUCCUGGCUAUGGACAUUGGAUGUCGUUGAUAACGGGAUCACAUCAUUAGGAGAAUGAUGUGAUGGACAAGACCCAAUCCUAAGACUAGCACAAAUAUCGUGUAGUUCGUUUGCUAGAGCUUUGCCAAUGUCAAGUAUCUCUUCCUUUGACCAUGAGAUCGUGUAAUUCCUGGAUGCCGUAGGAGUGCUUUGGGUGUAUCAAACGUCACAACGUAACUGGGUGACUAUAAAGGUGCACUACAGGUAUCUCCGAAAGUAUCUAUUGUUUUAUGCGGAUCGAGACUGGGAUUUGUCACUCCGUGUAAACGGAGAGGUAUCUCUGGGCCCACUCGGUAGGACAUCAUCAUAUGCGCAAUGUGACCAAGGAGUUGAUCACGGGAUGAUGUGUUACGGAACGAGUAAAGUGACUUGCCGAUAACGAGAUUGAACAAGGUAUUGGAUACCGACGAUCGAAUCUCGGGCAAGUAAAAUACCGCUAGACAAAGGGAAUUGAAUACGGGAUCGAUUGAGUCCUUGACAUCGUGGUUCAUCCGAUGAGAUCAUCGUGGAACAUGUGGGAGCCAUCAUGGGUAUCCAGAUCCCGCUGUUGGUUAUUGACCGGAGAACGUCUCGGUCAUGUCUGCAUGUCUCCCGAACCCGUAGGGUCUACACACUUAAGGUUCGAUGACGCUAGGGUUAUAAAGGAAGCUUGUAUGUGGUUACCGAAUGUUGUUCGGAGUCCCGGAUGAGAUCCCGGACGUCACGGGGAGUUCCGGAAUGGUCCGGAGGUAAAGAUUUAUAUAUAGGAAGUCCUGUUUCGGCCAUCGGGACAAGUUUCGGGGUCAUCGGUAUUGUACCGGGACCACCGGAAGGGUCCCGGGGGCCCACCGGGUGGGGCCACCUGCCCCGGGGGGCCACAUGGGCUGUAGGGGGUGCGCCUUGGCCUACAUGGGCCAAGGGCACCAGCCCCAAGAGGCCCAUGCGCCUGGGGAAACCCUAAAGGAAGAGUCCCAGCAGGGGAAGGCACCUCCUAGGUGCCUUGGGGGGGGGGGAGGACUCCUCCCCUGGCCGCCGCCUCCUUGGAGAUUGGAUCUCCUAGGGGCUGGCGCACCCCCCCCCCUUGGGAUCCCUAUAUAUAGUGGGGUAGGAGGGCCUCCCAAACACACCUUAUGCCUUUGGUGCAGCCCCUCCCUCUCUCCCAAGUUACUCUCCUCUUCUCCCAUGGUGUUUGGCGAAGCCCUGCGGGAUUGCCACGCUCCUCCACCACCACCACGCCGUUGUGCUGCUGUUGGAUGGAUUCUUCCUCAACCUCUCCCUCUCUCCUUGCUGGAUCAAGGCGUGGGAGACGUCACCGGGCUGUACGUGUGUUGAACGCGGAGGUGCCGUCCGUUCGGCACUUGAUCAUCGGUGAUCUGAAUCACGACGAGUACGACUCCAUCAACCCCGUUCACUUGAACGCUUCCGCUUAGCGAUCUACAAGGGUAUGUAGAUGCAAACUCUCCUCUCCUUUCUACUCGUUGCUGGUCUCUCCAUAGAUAGAUCUUGGUGUUACGUAGGAAAAUUUUUGAAUUUCUGCUACGUUCCCCAACAUGAGUGUCAUCCCCUAUGCCUCAGCCAUAGGUUCUAUUAUGUAUGCCAUGCUGUGUACCAGACCUGAUGUAAACCUUGCCGUAAGUUUGGUAGGAAGGUACCAAAGUAAUCCCGGCAAGGAACACUGGACAGCGGUCAAGAAUAUCCUAAAGUACCUGAAAAGGACUAAGGAAAUGUUUCUCGUUUAUGGAGGUGACGAAGAGCUCAUCGUAAAGGGUUACGUCGACGCUAGCUUCGACACAGAUCUGGAUGACUCUAAGUCACAAACCGGAUACGUGUAUAUUUUGAAUGGUGGGGCAGUAAGCUGGUGCAGUUGCAAGCAAAGCAUCGUGGCGGGAUCUACAUGUGAAGCGGAGUACAUGGCAGCCUCGGAGGCAGCACAUGAAGCAAUAUGGGUGAAGGAGUUCAUCACCGACCUAGGAGUCAUACCCAAUGCGUCGGGGCCGAUCAAGCUCUUCUGUGACAACACUGGAGCUAUUGCACUUGCCAAGGAGCCCAGGUUUCACAAGAAGACAAGGCACAUCAAGCGUCGCUUCAACUCCAUUCGUGAAAAUGUUCAAGAUGGAGACAUAGAGAUUUGUAAAGUACAUACGGACCUGAAUGUAGCAGAUCCGUUGACUAAACCUCUCCCUAGAGCAAAACAUGAUCAACACCAGAAUUCCAUGGGUGUUNNNNNNNNNNNNNNNNNNNNNNNNNNNNNNNNNNNNNNNNNNNNNNNNNNNNNNNNNNNNNNNNNNNNNNNNNNNNNNNNNNNNNNNNNNNNNNNNNNNNGCUAGGGCGGGGAUCCCCAAGCAAAUGAGGCGUAAUUUUGACACUAUGGCCAUCCUUCUUCAUUGGAGGAUCUGGAAGGAAAGAAAUGCAAGGAUCUUCGAUAAUGCGGCGAGCACUCCUGACAGGGUUCGGGACCUUGUCUUGGAAGAUAUACACAUAUGGAGAUCAGCCGGCUGUAUCAGCGACUUGGCGACAUAAGCCUAGUCUGUUCUGUAUCUCAUUGGCCACUACUCGUGCGGCGAGAACGAGGGUCGAGCCUAUCUGGAAGCUGGCGAAGGAUAAUCAGUUCUCUGCCUAGAUGUAGUCCUGAUAACGGACUGAUUAUAAUGCUCUCUGUCUCCCCUGCGUUGACGAGCUUGUGUUCUUUUGGGUUUCAGCUCUAGUUCUCCUAGGCUGUUUCCCAUGCUGUAUUCUUUUCCUUCAAUCUAAUAAAGUACGGCCAUUGGCCCUUCGGUACAGUUUCUUCAUCCUCUUUGUGCCAUGGCUGUCCACCUCUUCGUCCUCACCAGUCCGGUCGCAACGUUUCCCUAGCACGCCUCCCACUGCGGAGCACACACAGCUCGAUGCGGCGUCGCCAUCAGACAGCACCUCUUCAACCACUCCAAACAGCGGGUCAAAGUCAGCGAAUCCCUCGACCACGCCUCUAGCUAUGCGGCCAUAGGUGUACCCGGCAGCAGCCUUUCCAUUUGCAGGAUUUUCUUCCAUCGUUUUGCAUUCAGGCAGCUGGUCAUAAUAAAAACACCAAUAAAUAUUAUUGUGACUAAUUUUUUCUGAAGAUCGACCGAACAGAUACCUUAUAUGACAGAACAUCAUGACGAGAGAGUAGAGACUCUGCUUCCACGCCGCACCCUACAUCAAGAUAGCACUGACACUACUAGGAAAAGGCCUACUAAUGGCGCACCGGUUUUGCCUACUAAUGGCACACUACCGGUGUGCCAUUAGUAUCACGCCACUAUUAUUUUUACUUAGUAUCUGGUAUACUAAUGGCGUACCAUGCAGUGCGCCAUUAGUUUUGCCCACAGUGCACCACUAGAGUCUGCUAUACUAAUGGCGCACCACAUGGUAGUGCGCCAUUAGUAACAAUUUUUUUAAUUUUUUUUCUUAAUCUCAGGUCACUAUUUCACAUAUGAGAUAUCGAACACAUAUAUAUACAACAAGCAUCCAUAUAACAAUCAUAGCCAAUACACAAGUUUCAUCAUCUAUACAUACAUAGCCAACACAUAGUUCCAUCGUUACAUAUUAGAAAAGUUUCACAUUGUUCAUCCAACACCGUUAUCCAUCAAUUCACAAAAGUUUCACAUUGAUACAAAAUAAAAACACAAAUGGAAAAGAAGCACUCCAUCCAUGCAAGCUUCCGUGAAUUAAAUCAAAUCUGCAAAAUGAUAAACAAGAAGUUAGAAGAAGAAGAAGAAGAAGACUAGAAGAAUACUAGAAGAAGAAGAACACUAGAAUAAGAAUAAGAAGAAUUUUCGAAAAAAGAAGAAUAAGAAGAAGACUAUAAGCUUACUAUGUAAACUUGAUCAUUUUGUGCUAACAUAAGUAAUUUUGGAGCUAACCUAUAGGAAACUAAGCAUAUAAGCUCUAAGUUAGCAUAUUAGAGCCAACUUAGGUAAAAUGAAGCUAACCUAUGUCAUUUUGGAAAAGAAGAAGAAUAAGAAGGAGACUAUAAGCUUAUUAUGUAAACUUGAUCAUUUUGUGCUACCAUAAGUUAUUUUGGAGCUAACCUAUAGGAAACUAAGCGUAUAAGCUCUAAGUUAGUAUAUUAGAGCCAACUUAGGUAAAAUGAAGCUAACCUAUGUCAUUUUGGAAAAGAAGAAUAAGAAAAAGACUAUAAGCUUAUUAUGUAAACUUGAUCAUUUUGUGCUAACAUAAGUUAUUUUGGAGCUAACCUAUAGGAAACUAAGCAUAUAAGCUCUAAGUUAGCAUAUUAGAGCCAACUUAGGUAAAAUGAAGCUAACCUAUAGGAAACUAAGCAUAUUAGAGAUAACAUAGGUAACUAAGUAUAUAUAUAUAUCAUUUUGGAGAUCUGACAUACCUGACAAAGUUCAGUUCUCAUGCAUUGUUCUUCUCCUUCUCCUUCCUCAGCCUGAUGCGCCAAGAGUGGCGAGGCAGUGGAGGCAGUGGGAUGUAGUCUUCUACCACAAUUGGCGUGGUCAUGUCGCCCAGCUGUGGGAUCGUCGGCGCCACCACCGGUGCGUGGUCAUUGUCAGGCACCACCACCAUCGCGAGACCACCUUCAGGCACGACCAUCGCUAGGUCAUCCUCAGCCACCUCCAUCUCUUGCCCAUGGUCAGCCACCACCAUCUCUUGACCAUUGAGGGAGUCCUGGACUAGGGGGUGUCCGGAUAGCCGAACUAUCAUCAUCGGCCGGACUCCAAGACUAUGAAGAUACAAGAUUGAAGACUUCGUCCCGUGUUCGGAUGGGACUUUCCUUGGCGUGGAAGGCAAGCUUGGCGAUACGGAUAUGUAGAUAUCCUACCAUUGUAAUCGACUCUGUGUAACCCUAGCCCUCUCCGGUGUCUAUAUAAACCGGAUGGCUUUAGUCCGUAGGACGAACAACAAUCAUACCAUAGGCUAGCUUCUAGGGUUUAGCCUCCUUGAUCUCGUGGUAGAUCUACUCUUGUAACACACAUCAUCAAUAUUAAUCAAGCAGGACGUAGGGUUUUACCUCCAUCAAGAGGGCCCGAACCUGGGUAAAACAUCGUGUCCCUUGUCUCCUGUUACCAUCCGCCUAGACGCACAGUUCGGGACCCCCUACCCGAGAUCUGCCGGUUUUGACACCGACAUUGGUGCUUUCAUUGAGAGAUCCUCUGUGUCGUCGCAAUCAGGAAGGAUGCCUUUUCCCGUCUUUAAAGACGGCACCGUCAUCAAGGGAGCUUUGGCCGCCGGCCAAACUAUCCGGCUAGGUGGUUUUCUUAUGACCGCCUGUUCGGCCACCGCUCUGACGAUGACCUCUCAGGUCAUCAAAAGCGAUCUUCACGUCAGCUCGGAAUUCGUCGAGCAGCUAGAUCCGAUGGAGCUCUCCUCCGUAAACGAGCUCUUGGAUCGCAUCGCCGCCCUGGGAGUCGCUACAGACUACGAUCAGAUAGGGCUUAAAACCGAUCUGAGAGAAAUUAACUCUCCCCAGGCUACCCACCACGUUGUUGUGGUAGAGGAACAAUGCGGCGACCCUUCUUCUAUGUUAAAAACCAGCUAUGUCCGGAUUCCCGAUCCCUCCAUGCCGGAUUCCCGCGGAGGGACGGACGUCAAUCAAAUACUGAACCUAAAGUCAGGCAUCGGACUAGAUUUGUUGGAAAGCAUCCAACAAACCAAGCUUCCAAAUCCGGAAACUUCUUAGCCUUUGAGCCUCAGAUCGGGCGGGGUUCCGAACUUAAUUCCACCCGCCCACCCAAACAUAAGCGAUCUAUCUCAAAUAUGGCAAGAGCCCGAUGAAACAGUACAUCAUUGCUGGCCCAGAUUCCUCCUGGUUAUGAACAGGAUAAAGGACUGCCGUGAAGAAAGCGCGAUUUCAAUUUUCUGCAACAAUUGCACGGACAAGGGAAUCAUAAACACCAUAAGUCGUCCCGAAGUUACACGCUUCGCCGACCUAGGGACCAUUGUACAAAAAUACUGGGCGAUGGAGAGUGCCUGGAAAACCGAAACCAGGUUUUGGGACAAUCCGGCCCUGAAUAUAACCCCAGUCCGAAAUAAAAGGGUGCGUCAUGCUCAAGCACCGGGAUUAAAAACCAAAAAGCAAAAAAAANNNNNNNNNNNNNNNNNNNNNNNNNNNNNNNNNNNNNNNNNNNNNNNNNNNNNNNNNNNNNNNNNNNNNNNNNNNNNNNNNNNNNNNNNNNNNNNNNNNNGAGAGCAGGAGCGAGAACAUGGGAUUGUAUCGAUAUGAUCAAAUGGUUGGUUGCUUGCCUGAUGGUUCGAUGCACGGAUACGGUUCUUCGUUAGGGUAAUCACGGUACUCCUCGGGGACAGAUCCUGUCGCAAAGGACAUCGAUACACAAGCAUCACCAAACAAUGUGCAACAAUAUGAUGCAUGCAUGAAACAUGGCAAUAUGAGUGUGUUGGGCUAAUGCAACUAAAACCAGAAGUGUUUGAACAAAUUUGAAUCAAGGAUUCAAAUUUCAAAUUCAAAUAUGGCCUUUUAAAGUGCUUUUCCUUGUUCUGAUUAAAACAUCAAUUUAACUUGUUUGAUCAUGCAUGAAAAUAGUACAGAUGGAUAGAUUGGAUUUUUCUGAUCAUUUUUCAUAUAUAAUUUGUCCAAUUUGGAGUUACAGAAUAAAAGUUAUGAAUUUUUGAAGUUUAAAUAAUAUUCUGGAAUUUCCUGAUUUAAUUUAAAUCCAGAAAUUCAAUUACUGCGUCAGCAUGACAUCAGCAUGACGUCAGUGGUCAACUGUGGCUGGCUGAGGUCAAACCUGACGUGUGGGGGCCACACGUCAGUGACAGGGGGGGUUAAACAGGAUUAAAUUAAUCCUAAUUAGGGGUUAGUGGCGCUGGGACCCACUGUCAGUGUCAGGGGGGGUUAACUAACAGUAGUUAGCGCUAACCUAACCACCUGGCCGACAGGGCCCACGCGUCAGUGACCCUGGGGGGUCAAACCCCAGGUCGGGCAAGUCAAACCCCACCGGCGACAUGACGCCGGCGAGGUCCGAGACGGCAGCGAUAGUGCUUUUUGCCAUUCCGGCAACCAAAUGGACGGCGGAAGGCACCUACGUGUUGCUGAGGUUGAGCCGCGUCUAUUGGUGGUGGUGGUUGGGCUCGGGGUGGCCGGAGUUGACGGCGGCGAGCUCGGCUGUGGCGGCCGGAGUUCGGGUGCGGUCGGGAUCAGCGUUGCAGGGGGUUUGGGGAAGCGUUGGUGCGUGCUGCGUGCUCCUAGUGAGGUGGGGAGCACGAUGGUGUGCUCGGUUGGGUGCUACGGCGACCGUGGCCACGACGGCGACAUCGCCGGCGGCGUGGAGGUCUCGGCCAAGGUGGGGCUAGGGCCUAGAGGUCGAAAGAGACCAGGGGAGAAGGGGGAAAUGAUCCGGGGGCUCACCGCGGAGCUGCAGGGAUGGUUAGCGGGCUCGGGGACGCGCUGGUGACGGUGAAUUCGACGGCGACGACGGUCGGAGCCCGAAGAGGGGAACGGCGACGUGGCGGCGAUGCAGGGCUUCCGGGGAGCUGUGGAGCGGUGGGGAGGAAGAGGGAGUCGAGGCGGAGCUCCUGAGCUAGUCGGGGGAGCGAGGGGUGGUCGGAGACGGUGGCUAAGGCGAACGGCGGCGACGGUGGUGUUCGGCCGGGCGAGAGAGAGAGCGAGGGAGAGCCGGGGGNNNNNNNNNNGGCAGGCAGGGAGAGAGGUGGCGUGGCGCGGUGGCCGUGCGCGCGCGCCGGCCACACGCCUGGCCGACUGGCGCCAGGAGGACGACGGCGGUGGUGGGCUGGGCUGGCUAGCUGGGCCGGCCAGCUGGUUGGGCCGCACAGGUAAGUUUUUCCCUUUUAGUUUUCUGUUUCUGUUUUUAUUUAAUAUAUCUGCAACUUUGUUGAAUGAAAUAAAAUACCUAGGCAACUCCAAAAAUCACCAAACUAUUUCUGGCCCAUAGUUGGAUUAUUUCCAACAUGAAACAUUUUAGUUUGGAGAUAUUUGAGCAUUUAAAUAUUUUAUAUUAUUUUAAAUGCCCAAAUUCAAAUAUUUAUGAUUUAAUUCAAAAACCUUAGGAUGGCCUAGGAAAAUGUGCACCACUUUUGGCAGAGGUUCUGAACCAAGGCAAAAAUGAUGGGCAUUUUAGAAGGGCAUUUCAGGUUCAUUGAAAAAUUAUUUUAGUAACCCUAGUUGGUUUCAGAGGGGACUGGGGGUUCUGUCAUCCCCAUUUCAAGUUUCUGAUGAAAGAGUAAACAUGAUGCAACACUCUAAUGCAUGACUAGCUAGGGUGUGACAUCGGGAAUGCACCAAAAAAGCUUCUCGACAGCUCUCUCCUCGGUGUAGGUGGCAUCGCCAAACUUCAUCAUCUUCUGCAGCAGAGUGUUGAGACGGAGAGCAAAGUCAUCAACGUCCUCACCUGGCUUGAAGCCCAGGUUCUCCCACUCCUUACGAAGUGCCUGUAGUGUGGACUUGCGAGCACGGUCGCUGCCGAUGCGUGCUGCGGCGAUGGCGUCCCAAGCCUCAUUGACAGUCCGCUUGUUGGAAAGCGAGAACUGCAUCUCGGGCGGGACUGCGGCGAUGAGGGCGUCCAGCGCCCGUCGAUCCUCUAGGUGGUCGACGUUGCUGUCCUGGACUGCCUCCCACAUGCGCCGCACCUGGGGCCUGACCUUCAUGAUCCCGGCCCACUCGAUGUAGUUGGUUUUAGUGAGGGUAGGCCACCCAACACUGGAACCAACAUCCCUGACCACAGUCGGGACCUCGUAGAGGCCGCGGUCCUGGUCGUUGCAGCCGCCGUCGCGGUGCGCGCCUCCACCUUGAGCGCGGGCGUGCUCGGCUGCCCACUGCGCCGUCCUCUCCUGCGCCACUUUGGCGCGAUCUGCGUCGGCGCCGUCGUCCGCAGGCGCGGAGCUGCUGGAGCUGCCGGGGCUGCCGCGGAGUGCCUUGGCAUCCGCCGUAGCCUCACGGGCUGCUUCUGCUGCUACUGCUGCUCCUACCUCCGCCCUGGCUGCUUCUACCUCCGCUCUGGCUGCUGCCAGCUCCGCUGCAGCCAGCCUCGACACCCUUGCCGCCGCAGCAGCUGCUGCUACAGCCGCUCGCUCACGCUCCUCUGCCACGGCGCGCUCGGCCUCCUGCCGGCGCCGCAUGCUCGAGGUAGCCGUGUGCUGAGAGCGACCUGCAGACAUGGCUCGCUGCAGGGGGGCUGUUGCGUGAAGAGGAGGCCGAUGAAGACGAGCUGCUGCUCGACAGUCCGGAGGGAGGAAGGUAACCAGAGGCAGACGGAGCAGCUGCUGCUACCGACUUGGGCUGCUCACAGGAAAUGCUCAGGGUACAGGUUAACGAGGCUCUGAUACCACUUGUUAGACCUUUCAGUCUGAGCAUUGAUAGUUGUGGAUGACACUAGAAGAGUUGGGACAAUUUUCGUUGGUUUAUUUCUCACACAAUGCCAUGCCAACCUGAGGGGUUGGGGAUACAUAUUUAUAGGCUGCUAGCCAGCCAAGGCAUAUGCUAAGAUGCUGCUAAGAUGCCAGUCUAAGAUGCUAGUCUAAGAUGCUAACUGACAGUCCUUGAUGGUCAAGAACAGAACUCUAUCCUAACAGCCAGUCCUUGAUGGUUCAGGACUUUAUCCUCCUAACUGCCACAAGGACCAUGUGCUGCAGCCCCACAAAGACCCUAGUACAUAAACUUAUCCAUCAACCUCCACCACCGCCCCGCUGGCCGCCACGAACAGCGUCCCUCCACCGCCGGUGCCGAUUACCUCCGCCGCCCCGGUUGCCACCAUCUUCACCCUCGAGGAAGUCACCGGCGCGCUCCGCGAUCUCGCCACCGCGGUCCAGGAGAUCCGCCUCUACCUGGCCGGCCCCCACGAGCCGCCGCCGGCCGCGCCACCCGCCGCCGCCACCGGGCCGCUGCUCCUACCGUGGCAGCUGCCCCUCCCGGCGGCCUCCGCCGCCCUCGCCAGCCCGUUGCAGCCCCAGCUNNNNNNNNNNNNNNNNNNNNNNNNNNNNNNNNNNNNNNNNNNNNNNNNNNNNNNNNNNNNNNNNNNNNNNNNNNNNNNNNNNNNNNNNNNNNNNNNNNNNGGUGAUAGAACAAUCUCAUAUCAUAAUCCUUAAUGAGCUCCAACCAUCUCCUUUGCCUGAGAUUUAACUCCUUCUGUGGGAAGUUGUACUUCAAGCUCUUGUGAUCAGUGUACACCUCACAAUGGUUUCCGAUGAGAAAAUGUCUCCAUGUCUUUAAUGCAUGCACUAUGGCUGCUAACUCCAAAUCAUGUGUAGCAUAGUUCAACUCAUGGGGUUUAAGCUGUCGUGAGGCAUAAGAAACAACUCUUCCCUCCUGCAUAAGCACCGCUCCAAGUCCUCGACGAGAAGCAUCGCAAUAUACUUCAUAAUCCUUGCGCUCAUCUGGCAGAAUCAACACCGGUGAUGUAACCAAACAUUUCUUCAACUCCUGGAAACUGGCCUUACAUUCCUCAGUCCAUUUGAAUUUGAUGUCCUUUUUCAACAACUCUGUCAUGGGUUUUGCGAUCUUCGAGAAAUUCUCAAUGAACCUCCGGUAGUAUCCUGCGAGUCCAAGAAAACUCCGGAUAUCUCCAACUGAUGUGGGUGCUUCCCAAUUUGUCACAGUGACAACUUUGGUGGGGUCUACUGCUAUUCCUUCUCCGGAUAUAACAUGUCCAAGGAAUCCAACUUCCUUCAACCAAAACUCGCACUUGCUGAACUUGGCAUAUAAUUGAUGCUCUCUGAGCUUCCCAAGUACCAAACGCAAAUGUUCCUUAUGCUCUUCUUCAUUCUACGAGUAGACCAAAAUAUCAUCAAUGAACACCACAAUGAACUUAUCCAGAAACUCCAUGAACACCUUGUUCAUCAUGUUCAUAAAAUAGGCAGGUGCGUUAGUCAGACCAAAUGACAUAACGGUAUACUCAUAUAGCCCGUACCUUGUGGUAAAAGCUGUCUUAGGUAUAUCCUGCUCUCGAAUCUUCAGCUGGUGGUAUCCUGAUCGCAGAUCGAUCUUGGAAAAUACUUUAGCUCCUUGCAACUGGUAAAACAAAUCAUUGAUCAUCGGCAGUGGGUACUUGUUCUUGAUUGUCACUUCAUUCAAUCCUCGAUAAUCAAUAGCCAUCCUUAAUGAUCCAUCCUUCUUCUCCACUAGAAGCACUGGUGACCCCCAAGAUGUUCUAUCACUUUUAGCUAGCACAGAGGCUAGAGAUGAGAUUAGUGCACUUGUUGAUACUCCUACUAGAAUAGAGGCUAGACAUGAGACUAGAUGUGAGGAAGCAACGUCUACUUCUUUACACUCGAAGAAGAAAGAAGCACGCAAGAUCGAGCCUCCGCAGAUCAACAAUGAAUGCAUCGAGAAGGCACUAAUCCAACUUAUAGGAGUAGUAAAAUUUAUUCUUGUGGUUCUUGUUUUCUUUGGUCUUGCUUUUCUAGUCAAAAUUAUCGUUGGAGUUCGUGCAAAACGAAGGUCCGUUUGGGGUCGUGCGUUGGAGUUUGCCUUACAAGUGGGACCGCAGUUAAGGAAACCGACUAUCGGCAAACCCCCACCUCGCCCGCCGCGCGAUGGCUGAAGUUAGAGAAAUGACGAGGUUGAAGAGAUUGCUCUAGCAUGGACUCCAAGAAAUAAUAUGGUGUCAGAUGGAUGUCGUGGUGGUGGCGUGUGUCGUACUCCUGGACGUGAAUGCUUGUUCUGGCCCAUGCCACCCUACUACUCCUACUACUUACUCCUACUAUAUAGUACUAGUAUCGAGGAUUCGAGGUGCUGGUUACGUACAGCAAACACAUUAACAUAUGGCUACAGUAAAAACACCUGCCCGACGCGUGAAGCAUGUGAAGCUAGUACAAAUAGUGUACAACUAUUGUUGAUUGGCCUCAUCCGAUAACCUGUUGCAAUGCACGUACAAUUAUGUAUUCAGAAAAAUUUUUUCCUCGUCGCACCACUCACUCAGAGAAGUGACUCGAAAGCCAUUCCUAAAUUUAGUAAGUUUAUCACAGGCAUAUCAUUUUAUUACAUACAAUAGGUCAUCAACCCACAUCGACAACGAGGAUACAUUAUAAAUACUAAAGUUUUCACCAUACAAAAAAUAACAAGCAAUAAAAUGAACUUCAACUCAACCAUUCCUCGGUGUUGGAAAUGCUUGCUUUGAACCACAAGUGAUUCUCUGGGACGGGCCAUCCAUUAUCGAUCUGGAGACCAACGCAGGACUGAUCAUCCAGGCUGAAGCGGCCUACUAUAUCAGUACCAGGGUAGGGAACCACCCAAUUGUCCGAGGUAUAGACACAGCUGCUUCUCAUAAAUGGUACUAGUAACAUUGUGUCAACAGCAGUUGGGUCACCUUUCACCAUCAUCGGAUAGUUUUGUCCAAGGAAGAGCGAGUUUUCUCCAAGACUAUCAAUUCUGUACCAGGGAGAAGGAGUUGGCGCUAGCACACUAGUAUCCAUCCCGAAUACCAUGCAAUGGGUGUUGGAAUAGGUCCGGAGAGUGCGACCAUGGGAGACUACACCUGCUUCCUUAGCAGUAACAUCAUCAGUGGGCUGUAUACACACAAGAAGAGGUGAUCCAUCGGAAUUAGUUGCCAGGCGCCACAGAGUAUAUGGGCGCUACUCGUCCUCAUGCUUGUGAUCAUCACCAUCGUCAUCUCCCCCUUGGUUAUAAAAUUUUUCAAGUAUAGGUGGUGGGAUGUUCACAAGACCUUGGAAACACAAGAAGAAGCUUAAUUAGUAAAGGGAAACUUGCUAACCCGCAUGCAUGUGGAUGAAACAAUUAUAAUUACGCUGGAAGACAAACGUACCGAAACUACGAGGAUCCCAUGCAAAACAGUGCCACGAGUGGUGGCAGCAAACACAAGGCCCUCGUAUUGAAUUGCAUCACAGUACUCAUCCAUGUACAGAAACUGAUUUUUGAGCAAUAUCCAUCGAGUCAAACCACCAAGGACGGCAACAAGCUUGUUGAAGAUAGAAUUCCAAGAGCGGUUGGGAACUUGACAAAUUGCUAUCUUCCGUAGAAGAUAAUCACCAUGAUCGUAUUUGAACGUGCGUACAAUACCGGUGUGCUCAACCUCUGGGCAGUCUGCUGAGAUUUUUGGAAGUGGAACCCGGUCACGAGUGUACACAUUCACAAGUUCCCACUCGCAGUUGGACCCAAUGUAAACAACCCAAUCUCCAUUUGCGCCUGCCCAAGCCUUGCCCUCAAGCGAUGGCAUCUUAACAUCAUACGUAUCAUUAUCAAGCGGCAUCAACUUGCACAGGCUGAGGCCUCCGUCGUGCCGGCGCCAGUCAUCAGGGUCACGGCGAAGAAGAUAGGGGAGAUCAAACCGCUCCUUGACUCUUGGGUUCCUUGUAAUGAUGUUAUUAGUGGUCUUCACUGGGAUGAAAUGAGCUACCUUGGUCAAACGAUCGACUACAACCCAUAUCGAGUCAUAGCCUGAACGAGUCCUGGGCAAUCCUGUGAUAAAAUCCAUGCCUAUCUUAUCCCACUUCAAUUCGGGUAUCGACAAUGGUUGUAGCAAUCCUGCUGGCUUCUGAUGCUCUGCCUUCACUCUUUGACAUACAUCACAAACUGCUACAAACUCCGCAAUAUCCUUCUUCAUUCCGGUCCACCAAAAACUAUCCUUCAAAUCCAGAUACAUUUUGGUAUAUCCUGGGUGAAUCAAAUACGGCGAAUCAUGGGCCUCCUGCAGAAUCAACUUCCUGAUCUCUGGGUCAUUAGGCACAUAUACGCGGACCUCAAACCAUAAGGUAUCAUGCUCAUCCUCACGAGAUCCCUUAGCUUUUCCUUUGCUCAUCUUCUCCUUUAUCUCGGCAAUCUCCUUGUCGGUCUUCUGANNNNNNNNNNNNNNNNNNNNNNNNNNNNNNNNNNNNNNNNNNNNNNNNNNNNNNNNNNNNNNNNNNNNNNNNNNNNNNNNNNNNNNNNNNNNNNNNNNNNUUUUUCUUUUAAAAUUUCACUUGUUUAAUUAACUACAUUCAAAGAACUUUCUACAGUUUUUUUAGAGAAGGACAACCUAUGAUUUGCUAGCUAGCUAGUUAGGUAUUUUAACACAACAUUAAUAGCAAGGAGAAGGAGAUGAACUGUUCACAGCCAGGCAGGCAGGUCUCGCUGGCUUUUUCCUGUAUCAUUGGCUACUCCUACUUCCUUCUCUGACAAAGACCUGUUCUGAAUCUGUAAUACUGAUUCAUAGUGAUGAUGGUGGAUCGACUAUAGACCUUUACUAAUCCAUGUACAACAAAAAUUACGACGUACAAGGUUAAAAAUCCAAGGGUCAAACCCUAGUCAAUCGAUCCGGCAAAUUCUACACGAAUCUGGCAUGACAUCCAGUGCGAUUAACAGGAGUUUCAAUUAUAAUUAGCCUCCACGAAGCUGCAUGGAGGAGGAUGUAAUCGUGUUUUGUUUCCUUGUCUGAAACUUCACUUUCCAUCAAUCUGAAAAUAAGUGGUAGAGGGUAAAGGAAUGAAAAAAAACAUAUGUAGAGGUUUUGCAACAGCUAAAGCCACACACACAAAAACAUUAGUAUGCUAGCUGGUCCAUGGCAUUGACAAGUCAAUUGAUUCGAUGCAACCAUAUGUAUGAAUAAUAUGGCCAAGGAUAAGAGAAGUAAAAAAUAUAAAUAUACUGAUAGGCUCUUCUUUUGUUCACGUGUGCAUGUUGCAUGAGCCAAGUGUAUCGGCAUUAUGGCUUGUGUUUGCUACAUGACGGCGAUAGGCCAGUUCCCAUUCAGUCAGGCAUGAUAUGUCCUAAAUUCAUUUAUUCACGUAUCGUGUAGAAGGAGAACUUAUUUCAUUUAUGUUUUGUAGGUUCCUUGCUUACAAGAAAAUAGAAAAAAAGACACUUAUAUAAUUACCAGACAAAAUCAACUGUAUAUUGCUCUAUCUUUCCUCUUUGUUCUGUAUCAGUAUCAACAAUCAUAGUACUAAUAGCUUCCUAUACUGGUGGUAAUAAAUUCAAUAAAAGAAACCUAGAAACUAUAUGAACAACUUGAAACAAUAUGUACAAACUUAGAUUAACCAACGAAUGAAAUACAAAAGAAGUGUUCAUGUCUACGUGGAGUGAAUCAAUCAAGCCACGCAAAGCCCUAAUACUUUGUUUUCUAUUAGUAACUCAUAUGACAAUACAACCGCUCCAUAUGAAAAGGUAAUACGAUGAGUCAUCUAUGCUUAUCCAUCUUACAUAUAUAUUGUACAAAAAAUAUAAAGUUAGUUCAGAAAAAAUUGUGUAUAGAACAAUCUUCGCAUUAAUAGUGUGAUCUAUCUCAAUGACACACACAAAAUUACAAACUUUGUUCCCUUAAGUAUGCCAAUCUGGAUACGCCUAACAACAUAUAGAACAUGACAAACUAACUCGGAGCAAGGGACAAAAUCUAGAUCAAUGUUUGAAGUGUAAAGUGAAUACGAUGAGUCAUUUGUCGUUAUCAAGCAUUCCAUACACCUAGAUGAUAUGUGCAAGAACAAUCAACUAUGAAGAACAAUCCAAAAUCACACUAGUAAGUAGUGCAAUGAAACACAACAUACCAAAUUAUUAGGUAAUCGAUAAGCUUAAGAGCAGUUUUUCAAGAAGCGAGUGUAAAGAUUACAAACUUAGUUCCCUUAAGUUAUGCCAAUCUGGAUAUACCUAACAACAUGCAGAACAGCACAAGCUAAAUCAGAAAGACGGACAAAAUCUAGAUCAAUAUUUGAAGUGUAAAGUGAAUACGAUGAGUCAUUAUGCGUUAUCAAGCAUUUGAUACACCCAGAUGAUAUGAGAAAGAACAAUCAACUAUGAUGAACAAUCCAAAGUCACGCUAGUAAGUAGUGCCAUCAAACACAACAUACAAAAUUAUUAGGUCGAUAAGCUUAAGAGCACUUUUUCAAGAAACGAGUGUGAAGAUCAAAAACAAAUGUGCGAUGCCAGCUAUAAAUACGACUACACCAUGAGGGUCUCUUCCAUCAUCUAACCUUCAAGGACCUAGAGUUGAAACACCAAAGCCAAGUGAGCAAUAGUAAACACAAAUCAAACAUGAAGACCUUCAUCAUAUUUGUCCUCCUUGCCAUGGCGAUGAACAUCGCCAGUGCCAGUAGGCUGCUAAGCCCUAGAGGCAAGGAAUUGCAUACUCCACAAGAACAAUUCCCCCAACAACAACAAUUCCCCCAACCACAACAAUUCCCCCAACAACAACAAUUAACGCAACAACAAUUCCCCCGGCCACAACAAUCCCCUGAACAACAAUAAUUCCCCCAACAACAAUUCCCCCAGCAACCACCACAACAAUUCCCCCAACAACAAUUUCCAAUACCAUACCCACCCCAGCAAUCACAAGAACCUUCCCCAUACCAACAAUAUCCACAACAAGAACCAUCUGGGAGCGACGUUAUAAGUAUCAGUGGCCUAUGAAAUGAAGAGAUGUAAUACUAGACGGGUGAAUCAUCGUUGUUAGUCAAUGGAGCAUAAUGUAACGAUGAUAAAUAAAGUGAUGUGCACCAUCAUGUGUAACCCCGACCUGUACUAGUCCAAACAUGGGAAUAAAAGACAAAUAAGUUCUUUUCUGAAGCACAUUGCUCGCAAUUGUUACAUUCAUGCCCUAUUUUGAUUUCCAUCCCUAACUACAAUCUCAAUGUUAUGUGACGUCUACUUAUUUAGGAAGUGUAGUAUUAUAUGAACAUAACAUAAUUAACAUGUACGAAACUUGUUUCAAAUUGAAGUACUAUUA